UUUUUUUUUUUUUUUUUUGGUUUAACAUUGUAAAGUUAGUAAUUGUAGUAAAGUGUAACUCUAUUUUUAUUCCUUUACUAUCAUGUUCUUGAUAUUGAACUCUAUUUUUAUUCCUUUACCAUUAUGUUCUUGAUAUUGUUCAAGUGUAAACAUAACUAACUUUAAUUCUACAUUGCCUAAUCACGCAAACUAUAAUGUAAACAUCAGUAAAUCUACUGUACAAUGCUCAAUACUUUAUAGCCCAUUGCUCUAGAAAUCAAUAGGGUAAAUGGCAUUAGAAAUGCUGAUACUCACAGCAUCAAAAACUCUGCUUAAUUGUUGGAGUAAUCCAACCAAAGAAUGGCUCAGAAGAAUUCUUCUUCCAGCUGGAUAAAACCCUUUCUCACAAACAACAAUUGUUGUUGGCUUCCCACUACAAACCCUAACCUAUAAAUAAAUUCAAAAGUCCAAUUCAAUCAUAUAUAACUAUAAAUAUUUAAAAGGGAAAAAAAAAGAAAAAAGAAGAAUUUAUCAAAUUACAUCAAUUUGAAAGAAAUCAUCUUCGGAUUUAUCAUCCAGAAAUGGUCGAUUUGAUCUCCUAAUAUCUGCAACAAUUUUUUUUUUUUUGGGAAAAUGACAAUUAAUUCAAGGAACACAUACAAAAUUCGAACGAAAAUAGCAAUAAAUGACUUUAAAAAAACAUAAAUAAAAAGAAAAGCUUACAUUGGAUGGGAGGAGUGAGAUGAGAGAAGGAGAAAAAAUCAUAGAACUGCCCGAGCCGCGGCGGAGGACACAUCAUAGCUGCGAAGGCAUCGCCAUUUUUCUCCGCCGAGUCUCCGUCAUUGGAAAUACUUUCGGGCUUCGCCGGCUUGAGUUUCUGGUGGGGAGCAAUGGUACCGGACUUCUUGCCGGAGACUUUGGGCUUAGAAGUCGAUUCAGAAACGACAUUUUCCGGGCCGGGUUCGGACUCAGCAGAACCGGAUUCCUUGUGACCUGUAUCCUUUGAACCGGGUUUACCGUUGGGUUUGGGCGAAGAAGAUGAAACGCCAAACGACGUCGUGCAAGCGACAAUGUCGAGUAGUCGUCGAAUGUGGGCCACGGCUUGGCUUUCAGUGUAGUCCUCUGCAUAGUUUAUUGGAUAAUGACCCCUAUAGUUUGUAGUAAUGGACUAUAGCCACAAUGCAUUUAAUGAAAAAUAAUUUACAUCAAAAAGUCUAAAUAUUUAUACAUAAAACAUGAGCAUCCUUUCCUUCUUGGAUAGAUUUUAAUGUUUCAAGGAUUAAUAAUCUAGGUAUAAUAGAUAAAUUUUAAAAAACAUUUUACACUUUUUGAAUUGUAAAGUUCAAGAGUUUUUCUAUCCUUAUCAUACUGUAGGAAAUUAGUAUAAUUUGAUUAAUUCAUAUAGGAAAAAGAAGGAAUAAAAAAUGGAAAGUGCAAAUUCUCAACAAAUCAAAUUUGAAACUUUAAAUGAUGAACUAACAUCAUAAACAUUUUGAAACUAAUCAAUUGGAUGUUAUCUCAAUCUUAUUUUGCAUAUACAUAAAAGCAAGACUUGAGACAAGAAAGCAUGUUUCUUAUUUGACAAUUAGAGGGUAUAUCUUAAUUCAAAUUAUACAAAAUCUCACAAAACAAUUACUCCAUAUGAACAUUUCAAUGUGUUUUCUUAUAUAAAAGAAACAUGUUGGAAUUGUAAAUAUUGUAAAUACCUUCAACAAUAAUGAGGUGGCAUGGUUUGAGAGAGGUGAUUUCGAUGGAAUCCUUUAGCCGUGAACCUCGUACCUGGUCAAAGGCACAAACCUUUAGUUAAUUAAUCUUCCUAAGAGAUUUAUUGAAGUAUUUCCACAUGGUAUUUUUAUCCUGGAAUUUUUUUAUAAACUCUUCUAAAAAUAUGCGUCGGAAAAUAUUACCUUCAAAAUAUAUUAUGAGAAGUUGAAAUUAAAGUAAGACAUUCAACUAUAACUCCACAGAGCACUCAACAACUCAAAGUACAACUUUUGGCGUACAUUGGGAAAUGCAGUUGCUGGUUUGCAUAAUCAUGAUCCCUACAACAUUCUGUUUAUUUCUUUUUGGUGAGUUGGCAACCGAUUCUGGCACACUGAGAAAUUUAAUCUCAUAAUAAUUUUGACAUUAAUUGCCAAAAAUACAUUUUGCAUCAUAACUUUUUUGUUAGUCUUGAAUUACAAUUGACAUGUAAGGAUAGUGUGGAAAAUUUAUUGUGACAUUAAAAUUAUGGUUUGGACAAUAUCAUUUAGGGAUAAUAUGAGAAACUUCCCCUGAGGUCUCUACAAAUUUUAGAAAGCUUCCCUUAAUUUUCAAAAAUUAUAGUCACCUCCCUUACUUUCAAUGUUUACGCUUUAAAAUAGCCCAAUAGGUUACCAAUUCCUUCAAAUAUCCUAAACUACCCUUUUGCAAAAAAGAAUAAAAAGAAAUGAUAAAAAAUUUUGUUGAUUGCCCUUCUUCCAACACCAAAGCCAACAAACUCUUUCUGCCAAAAAUAAAAGUUUGAAAAAAAAUCCAACUAUGAUGAUUGCUUUCUUCCAAGCAACACUAGCACAAAAGCUAAGCAAACACCCCAAUCUGAAUCAAAAUCAAUUCCAAUAAUUCUAGCACCCAAAACACCACAACCUGAUUUAUGUCCUGCAACCCCAGCCCCUACAAUUCCUACACAAGUCAAUUAAACUCAUCACUUGGUGCUAAAUUAAAUAAAAAUCAACCUCAAAUUUUACCCAAAACUAAUAUUUCAUCAACAAUCAAUUGCGCUUCUUUCCUCUUCCUCUCUUUGCAACCUCCUUUAUUUUUUUUAACCACCCAUUUCUAGAGCCCAUCCAUCUCUCAAAUUCUUGACUUUUUCACAUCACCAAGUUUUAUCACCCAUAAUCAACCAAAAUUAGAUAAAACAAAUAAACGUAAAAAAAAAAUCAAACCCAUUACACUUAGAAUUAAAAGGAAAAGUGGAUAAGCCUAAUCAUGUUUGCAAACAGAAGAUGGGUAUAGAGAAUAAAGAAGAAGGAAAGGAGGGAGAUAGAUACGAGCAAGGGAUGAUAGACAGAAUUUGGUCCUGAAUUGGAAAAGAAAUAUUAAGUAGAAAGGAAGGCGGUGGGAAUUUGGGCAAAGAAGGAAAUGGAAGAAAAAGCAAGAUAGAAAGGAAGAAGAGAGAGAGAGCAAGUCAACUCUGGUUUUCCUUAGAAUUUCUGAAAUUUUUCCAAAAAAUGUCAUUAAGUAUCCUAUAUAAGGGUAGUAGAGUACUUUUGUAGCAAUAGGGGAGGUAUGUAUAAUUUUAAAAUAUUAAGGGGAUUUUUGUGUAAUUAUCCCCAUCAUUUAUCUUGGCACGAGGCAAAUUUUGAUAACUUUGAUCAUACAUUUCAUUUAUCAAGAUCUACUCUACUUCUAUUCUAGCCUAUUCCUAUUCUAAAUGGGGUCUAACUUGAACAAUCGGGAAACUAACGGCGACUGAACCACAAUCGAAUCAGAUGGGUGCACUAUGUACUCAUAUGGAUUUGGGAAGCCUAUUCCUAUUCUAAGGGAAGGUCCAAUUGGACCAAUCGAAAAAUUGACGGGGACUAAACAACCAUUAGACCAUAUGGGUGCACUAUGCACUCAUAUGGAUUUGGAAAAGUUACAUAUAAUAGCAAAAUGAUGAAAAUUAAGAUUUAAACUAUUGACCUCCCAUUCCACCAAAACUUAAGUCAUUGAUGGUGGCUAAUAGCCCAAACGGCUAUUGGUUACAUGCGAUCUAUUUAUAUAUGGGGCCAAAUCUUGCAUUAAGUGAUUGACUCACGUGGCAUGCUUAAUGCUGAAUGUUCAUUUAUCACAACCAUUGGUUUUAGAGGAUCAGGUCCUCACAAUUUCCAGUUGAAACUAAUUUGCCUCUAAGGUAUAAAUAGGUAGAGACAUAACGUAAAUAGAUUUAGACAAAGUGUAAAUUGGUAAUAUUUUUGUGUAAAAAAUAAGCAAAUGAUAGUAUAAAAUGAUUAUUUUAUCCUCAACUGGUCUGAAAUGGAAUUUGUGAGGCCCUUAUCCUGGUUAUUUUGGUGUAACCUUGCUGAUUAUCUAAAUUCACACAACUUUAAUAACUCGAAUGCUAUAACUAACUCCCGAGUCUUGAUCAAUGCAAAAUCGAUAUGAUGUACCCUUUUUCAUUAUGGGGUAGUAGGACGAUGGAUCAAAGAUUGUGUUUAGGAGGCUCGGAAUUUCAUUCUUGAGGAGUUGGAGAAUUUCCAUUUCCCCUUCACUCAUUGGGGGGGUCAAGGGGUGGAGGGGUUGCUUUGGUGAAGAAGGCAUGGCGUAUGGAGUUUGCGUUUUGAUAACAGAAUUGGAGUUGGACUGAUCGGUACCUGACCUUACCAAUAAUAGAAGAAGUUGAUACACAUUGAAGAUUUGUCCUAACAUGGAUGGAACACUUAGGUUUUGUUUGAUAAAAUUGCAUCUGAAUUCUGAAAUUUGAAUACUGAAAUAAUUAAUUUACUGAAUUUUAAACACUGAAAAGAAAUAUAUGAAUGUCUAAAUUUUAAUACUGAAACUAUUUAUACUGUUUGGUAAACAUUUAUAACUGAAUACUUAAUAAGUAAAUUGUACAAUUUUGCCCUUACAUCUUUUCAUCCAAAAAGGAAAUAGAACCUAUGAUUUAAUUAGUUUAAAAUUGUUAGAUAUGAAAAUGACAUUAUUUAUUUUAAAUCAAAUUAUAUAAAAGAUGAAAUAUAUUAUAUGAAGACUAUGGAGAAGAUUUGAAAGUCAUUAAAAAGAGAGAAAAAAAGAAGUAGAAAACCGUUAGAUAGAGAAUAUCAUAUUGUUUAAUUAGAUAAGGAUUUUGAAUAGAGAAUAUCAGGUUGUUUAAUUAAAUAAAAAUUUUGAACAUAAUUAACAAAUGAGAGUAGAUUUGGUAGAUAAAAUAAGAUAGUUAAAAUAAUUUUAUUGAUUCUUAUCAGAAUUAAGCAUUCAGUUACGAUUCUUGUGCUGAAAAAAAUGCGCACAAGUUCAGCAAAUGGAUUUUUAUUUAUCAAACACUCAAAACAUCUGAAUGUCUAAAAAAGUUCAGUUUCAACACUUUUUUAUGUUAUCAAACAAACCCUUAUUCUAUGCAAAAACUACAAAUACCAAAUAACCUUAGUUUCUUGCUCUAUGUGAAAACUACAAAUGCCAAUUAACAUUUUCAUUGAAAGCUACAAAUGCCAAAUAACAUUUUCAAUUUUUUUCGAGUAUUCUUGCUCUAUAACAUUAGUUUUUCAUUGAAAAAAUAGGGAUAAUUUUAGAAACUUCUCCUGAGAUUUGUGACAAUAUCAUUUAACAUCCUUGAACUUUAAAAAAUAUCACUUGUCUCCCCUAUAUUUAACUUUUUAUAGCAUUGUGAACCCAUUUCAAAAUAUAUUAUUAGAAAACUCAUUUGUGGGUAGAAAAUAUGAUUUUAUUCUAAUAUUGCCAUUUUGCUGUGUAUAAUUUUGUUAUCAUAAAUAAAUCUAAUUAAUCCCUUAACUUUUGAAAACUUGGCAAAUAUGAUUUUUUAAUUAGGAAUCACAAAGUAUUAACAAGGUUGAAAGACCUAUCAAUAAUUUUUGUGUCAUUAAUCUACAUAAGAAAUAUAAUAAAAAUUUGAACUCUAAAUAGUUUAGAAAACUCAUAAAAUUUACCCAACAAUUUUACAAUGAAGUAAAUAACAUUAUGCAUCUUGAAAAUGCCUCAAAUAAGUUUCUAAGUAUAUAGUUAAUAAUUUUAUCUUUUUUCAAGGUUUUUAGGCCAUUGAAAUGGACAAAAAACUUGUAAACAAUUCAUAAAUCCUUAAAUUCAUCCACAAACACUUUCAAAUUAGAAAAUAAAUUUUGCUUUGAAGAAACCUCAAAUGAGCUUGUAAACAUAAACAUUUUGUCUUUUUUUUUUUUGGUUUUCAAGCCAUUAAUCUAGACAAGAAAAUUGGAAAUUCUAAAAAAUUCCUCAAAUUGACCAAAAAUACUUUAGAAUAAUCGAAUAAUCUCAAAAGUAUUUUUUUCGGUAUGGUAAAAUACCUAUUAUUAUAUUGUGGUCAAAAUUAUGCAUUUGCACUAAGUGUCUUUGUUUUCAACCUUUAUGCUUUCAGUUUUGAAAAAUAAAAAGGACAACAAAGGAUUCUUUUAUUUGGAAUGAAAAUAUUGUCUUUAUUCGAAAAUGAAUUUUUAAAUAAUAUAUUUUAAAAUGGGUUGACAAUGUUACAAAAAGUUAAAAGUAAGGGAAACAAAUGAUAUUUUUUUAAAGGGGAGCAAAGCGGACUAUUAGAAACCUCAAGCGAGGUUUUUCAGAUUAUCCCUUGAAAAAAGCCCAAGAUAAUUAGGUUUCAAAAGCCUUUUAACUUUUAAAUUUGAAUUUAAAUCUCGUCCAACUUAUCAAAAUUAUUAUGUUAUUCAAAGAGUCUAAACUUUCUCUCUAAACCAAAUUUAUAGAUCACUAAAAUUUUAAAUCUACUAAUUUCUCAAGCAAUUGUAAUGGAGUUGAUAUCUUUGACUAGAAAAUAUACGACCUAAUCAUGACAUUAUAUCUAAAUUCACUCAAUUCUUGUUGAGAUGUUGGGACCAUGAAAAUGACAUGAUUGUGUUUUAUCUAAGGUUUACAAUCCAUCAGUUCGUAGUGUAAAAUGCAAUAACAUAACGUAGCAUGAAGCAUGAAGAAUGUUACAUUGCUCUACGAAUAUAUAAGAGUAACUGACCUCGUGUGACAAGGAGUAGUUGGUUAAGUGGCAUGUCUCAACAUGGACCGCUAAAAGCUUUCUCACAUCUAAAAUUUUAUCCGUCGAUAUUCCCUGCAGUAAAAUGUCAUUCAAUUGGUGCACUCUGGUAGUAUUAAACGGAAUUGGCAGAAGCCCAGAACUUGUACUUACCUUAAGUGUAACUUGUGAAUCCUCAGGUGUAUCUACUGUUAUUUCUAUAACUGUAGGCAAUACUGCAGUAAAGGCCAAAAAUGCUAAAAUUAAUCAAGAAUAUGCUAGUUAAUUGGAAAACCAAAAAAAAAAAAGAAAAAAGAAAAAAGAUAGAGGUUUGUUUAGUAUAUUUGUGAAGUAAUUGCAUUAUCAGCUGAUUUUGACCAAAAAAAAAAGGGGGCUCUCGACCAAUGACAAGACAAUGUUGCACUUUGAACCACAAGCAAAAGUGAAAAUAGGAACUCAACUUAAUGUAUUUCCUAUGCAAUUUUCUAGGAUAUUGAGAAGUUUUGGUUCAGAAAAUGUUUUGAGGUACUUGAUGCAAUUGUUCUUAUGAUGAGAGAGAAUACCAUGGCAUUAUGGUAACGUGGAAGUGAAACUAAGAAACCAAUUCAUUCAGUCUCAAAGACAACACUAGCGGGACAAGACAAAGAUAAGUAGAAUAGCAAACCUUUCUCUUCUUUCUUCUUCUUCUCUCCUUUAGCUUUGUGGGGCUUAGCCUUCCCACUUUUAGGAGCCAUUUUCUUCUUGAAAGAAUUGGAUUGCGAAUAACUUUUGUUUAGUUUACAACAAUCCUAUAAUCAGCUUUGCUUCACUACACAAUCCAUAAAACUUACGUUAUUACAAUAUAAAUUGCACUACAACCCCUUCUGUUGUUGUUGUUGUUGUAUGACAGCCACCAAUAUAAAUGCACAUAACCCAAAUUAGCUAAUGCUCAACUUUUCUGGGCCAAGCUAAAUAGUUCAAUUCAAGUGAAAUAACAAUAAGAAACGAAGUAAAAAAGCACAAUCAGUAGUUAAAAAUGCUUCAGAAGUUCCAAAUUUAGCUAGUCUGGAAGGUGCAAAUGCAGGUUUGUAAUGCUACAGUGUAUAGUUUUUCGUAGUAGAAGCGAACUUUGUUAUAAACAGAGACACCAUAAAGGAACAUAUACAGGGAAUUAAAAGUAUCUAGGAGAAGGGGGGCCAAAAAGAUAGAAAGAAAGAGGGAAAACUAGCCCUCGUAUUUGUUAUUGUGAGUUUUGAGAGAAGCAUAGGAUAAAAGAAAUGAGAAAUAGAAUGAGAAGAGAGUAAGAGGUGGAUAGGAUAAGAUGACCCAAAACCAUGGCACUUGUGUUUGUCACAACCAGAGGAAUGUCAGGUUGGCAAAUUGGAGCCUCUCAUUUCACUAACUGAUCAUUUAGACGUCUCUCUACAAUUUUUUUGUGCCUUUGUCAUUGGAAGAUUGGGUGAUAGAAGCUGCUGAAAAAAAAUUCAAGAAUGAGUUAUCUUCUUGUCAUUUGACCUUUUGCUAGAGCAUUUGGAAAAAGUACAAAUGGAGAAGUUAUUCAUUUUGGCUUGAUUUGAGAAACAGUAAGUGCUUAAUUGGAUAAAAUGAUGGACUUUUUGCGCUUAAGUUUGUGCCACGUUCAUAUCUACAUUUGUUGUUGGCCGAUAAGGAUAACUUUGUCCUAUUAGGGUAUUGAUGCAAUCGUGAAUUUGUUCGUCAGGAUAUUGAAAGUCUUAGAUCUAACAGGGUUUGCUUUUAGCUUAUUAAACUCAGUGGACCUAAACCAUGUAUUUGUUGAACAGUUUCAAGAAUCAAUAUUGAGAUAAUGCUUGAAAUUGUAGAAAUAAAUUUAUGUCAAAAUUGUUUAAAGCCAAUAAUUGAAAUGGUUAUCAUAGCUUCUGAUAGGAAGCGUAGCUCAAGGAAAAAAGUUACACAAAUAAUUUCCUAAAUACGAAUCGAAGAUUCGAAAGAAUGAGAAGGAAACUCUCUAUCUAUUGGAAUUUCUAAUGGAAAUAUAUGAUAGAAAUGAUAGUUGAAUGAAUAAAAUGCUUAAAAAUACCAAUUUAUAGGUUAGGUCUUUCACUAAAAUAUAUAUAUAUAUAUAUAUUGCGUAAAACAUAAAACGAAUUCCUAGUCGCAAACAAAUGCGCAAAGGAUCCGGCCUCGGAUCACAAGCCACAAAGGACUGGAUUUGAAACUGGAUCUGGUUGGCCUCAAGGAGCUAGGCUAUCCUCUCACGGUUCCCAUCCUCUCCCGAGAGGGACCACAAACUGGAUCAAGGUCAGAAACGACCUCACAUUCUGCCAUCGAACCGCGGGGCUUCAUUUCUUGUCCCACAAGCACUCCAUUUUUGCCCAAAAUUGAUUAGAAACGCGUUUUGUAUCAGUUUUGUUUUCGGCGUUUUUGAGCAUUGGAAAAUCGGUUGGAUCUAGGGUUACAAAUAAGUCGAAUCGAGUCAAGUUUUAGUUUAAAUAAAUUGAGUUUCGACUUAAUUCUAUCAAGUUUGACGAGUUUUUAAUAUAAAAUUCGACUUUGAACUCGAUUCAACUCAAACUUAACUUCAUGAAGUUCAAAAUUGAGUUCGAGUUUAAAAAAAAAAAGAAAAUAAUUAUUUUAUUUUUUAAAAAUGAAUAUAUAUAAAUGUAAUUUUGCUAUUAAAAAAGAUUUUAUAUAUAUAUAUAUAUAGCUGACUUGCAAGUUAACAAGUUGCGUAUCUUUGAAUUCGAUGUUGACCAAGUUCAAGUCGAGUUUUGACUCGAGCUACUUGCAAUCGGUUCACAAGCCAGUCGAUUUAUACACAGCCUAAUUGGACUAAUUGAAAGGCAAACUAUCACCAAGUUAGCUAAAUUUCCCAUGUGAAACGUGAAGACAGAUUUCAUUGUCCUUACUUAUCUCUCCAGCUAGCUUCAAGGACAAUUUUGCUUUUCGGUCAGCAAUAAUUUGAUCGAUCCAUUUUGUAAUGUUAGGAUUAGAGAAGAUCAGUCCUUGUUUCAUUUCCUCGUGAAUAAGAUAGAGAAAGUGCAACCUGUCAUUGCUGAGUUUGCUCUUCCAAAAACGGUAUUCAAGUAGAACGCUAAUUAAUUUCUUUCUAUCUCUGAAAAACAUGGUUCCAACUCUUUAAUGUGGAAUGCCUUAUAAUGCUUUAGGGGCUUCAACUUUAACACAGCCAAAUACCAAGCCAAAGGGCGUUAAAAUUGAAAGUUGGUAAUUCUCAUCUCUCCUGCAUUUAGUACUUUUCCUCUUCACUGCACAAAAAAACCAACUAAAACUCGAAAUUCUUGUCAGUUUCUAGAUUUUCUACAAAGACCAUUUGGUCCAUACAUCGUUUGAGUCAUAUGUUUUAGUAUCAUAUUUUCCCUUCAUUUCUUCACGAAAAUGUUAAACAAACAAAAAGUUUGCUGCUACUAAUUAUUUCCAAGUAGAAAGUGGACUUGUGCAUUUACAUGAUCUCGGUCAAGCAAUUGUGUAUGAUGACCUGAAUCUAUCUGGUCUGCAAGUACAAAGUUAGUCUAGUGAUGUGAAAUGUGUAGCACAAGAAAUCUUGGACCAAAAGGAUCACGCAAAAGAGCAUAAGAAGAAGCUGGGUGGAAUAAAGCAUCAGGAUGAAAAUGCAGCCUCACCCGUGUUUACUCAAGACUUCCACUGACAAACAUCAAACUUUUUUUUUAAAUUUUUCCCUUUAUUUCUGUUUUUAAUGUAAUUUCGUUUACUUUUGGGUUUAGAACUUCUUAGCUAUAUAUAGGAACAUAUGAGGGCUUAUUUAAUGAGACUUUUGACAUCAUUCUUGAAAUUCUUAAAACUUGAUGUGUUUGGGUUCAAUACCUAGAUUGGAUUCUUGUUGAAUCUGAAAAAAGUUCUAGUUGAAUUUUGGAUUUUCUUUUCAAAUCAUUAAGAGUCUUGUGCAUCAAAUCAUCAAGAGUUUUUAUAAAAAUGUGAUCAUCCAUUGUGGGAAAAUUCUGAUUUCUAUAUCCGACUUCCUUUCAAAAAGAAUGAGGAUAUAAAUCCCACAAAAGCUAGUCAUUUGGGAAUGAAUCCUGAAGAUUCCAAACUAGCUAAGCAAGAAUGUGUUGAACUCUUGAAAUUUGGUCUUAUUGAAAAAUCUGAUUCUUAGUGGGCAAGCCAAGCAUUUUAUGUCAACAAAAGAUCUGAGCAGGUAAGAGGAAAAAUGAGACUGGUAAUUAAUUAUCAGCCUCUCAAUAUUUUUCUCCUUGAUGACAAGUUUCCUAUUCCUAACAAAUUUACAUUGUUUGCCCAUAUUUCGCAAGCUAAAUGGUUUUCAAAAUUUGAUCUCAAAUCUGGAUUCUGACAGUUGGGAAUACUUCCAGAAGAUAGGCACAAAACUGGUUUUUGCAUUCUAAAUCAUCACUUCCAGUGGAAGGUGAUGCCUUUUGGUUUAAAAACAGCACCAUCACUUUUUCAAAAGGCCAUGAUCAAAAUCUUUCAGCCUAUUCUUCAUAUUGCACUUGUAUACAUUGAUGACAUACUUCUUUUCAGUAAUACUUGGGAAGAACAUAUCCAAUUGCUUAAUGAUUUUCACAAAAUUGUUAAGCAAUAUGGUAUCAUGAUUUCUGAAAAGAAAAUGAUUUUGAUAAAACAAGAAAUUCAAUUUCUUGGCAUGAAAAUUUCUGAAGGAUAGUGCACUCCUGAACAACAUGUUGGACAAUCAGUUGUAAAUUUUCCAGAAAAAGAUUUGUCAAAAACACAAGUUAAACAGUUCCUUGGAGUUGUAAAUUAUGUCCGAGAAGUCAUUCCAAAAGCUGCUAAGCAUAUUAGUCCUCUGACUAAAAUGCUUAAGAAGAAACUACCCCUGUGGGGACCAUCUCAGACCAAAGCAAUCCAAAAUUUGAAGAAAGAACUUCUUUGUCUUCCAACCUUGUACAUUCCCUCUGAUGGCAAGAAGAUUUUACAGACUGAUGCCAGUGACAAAUACUGGGGAGCUAUCCUGCUUGAAGAAGAUAACAGGGACAAAGACAUUGCUGUGGAUUUGCAAGUGGAAAGUUCAAAAUUUCAAAACAACAUUAUCAUUCCACAUUCAAGGAAAUACUUGCAGUAAGAAAUGGAAUUAAAAAAAUUCUCUUUCUUUCUUAUAUUUCAUCAUUUCUUGGUUGAAAUAGACAUGGGAUCAUUUCUUAAGAUGCUGCACUUUAAACAAAAAAUCAUUCCUCAUCCACAACUACUUCGUUGAUCAGCAUGGUUUUCUCAAUAUUCCUUUGAUAUGAAACAUAUCAAAGGAAAAAAGAAUGUUGUAGCUGACUUUUUCUCAAGAAAAGAACCAAUUGAGCCAAAAGAAAUUUCAACUUGUUUCAUGUUCACGCCAGUUUACUCAGAACCCCCAAAUAUUCAUGAAAUUCCUUAUCCAUGGGAAAAAGAAGACAUAGAAAGAAUCUGAAACCAAUAUGAACUAUAAGUUUUUAGUUCAUAUGGAGGAUCAAUCUUAAGUCCCUUCGGAACAAAUCCUGAAUAUCCUUUCUGUCAAAUCUUCAUAGACAACCCUCAUGAUUUUCUCAAACCAUUGCUAUACUAUUUUUGGUGUUUAUGCCAUCAAUAUCAUAUUCCAAUGAAAUUUCAGAGUCCAUUCUUUAAUCAACCUUUAAAUCUGAACCUUCAAAUUUUUCUGCAAUGAUUUAGGCCAUUAACCUUCUGGUCCGGAUUAUUCUCAACAAAUUCCAAUCAUGUUAUCUUUCAUUUUCAUAGACCAAGUCAUUUGCUCAAUAACCAAAUCCAUUCUCUUCUGAGUACAGUCAUUUAUAAAGAAAUGUCUCAUACUAUUUUAGACCUUGAAUAUGAGUAUGAGGAAGCAUAGAGAUACAUAUUUCAAGAAAAUAGAUGCAUUCCACCAGAAAUUUGGUCAGGACAUUAUGGAUCAUGAAACUAUCAAACUAGUCAUCCUCACUGAACUAGAGCUCAAAAAGCCAAAAAAAACAGUAUCAAGAUGCAAUAAAUGACACAAUAAUGACACAAGUCAAUCAGAAACUGGUCCCUUCACAUCUUCUUAUGUCCAUAAAAAAAAGAUCAGAAGCAAGUAGACAGCUGAACAACAAAAGGAAUAGGAGAGCACAUGAAGAUUUCAUUGAGAUGUACAACAUCACUGAUCCAGAUACUACUCCUUCGGAUAUCCCAGAUGAUGACAAUUAUUGGUGUGUCUAGUUGUCACAAGUCAUGUAGGCUCCAGUAAUAAAGAAAGUUGUCUGUAACUUUCUUGAAGAGUCAUUUGCAACCUUUACUUUUCUGAAGGGUCAUUUGUCUUUUGUGUUCUUGAAAGGUUGUCUAUUACCUUUCACCAAGAGUCAUUUUACUAUUUGCUUUUUGAAAGGCCAAGUAUCCGUGACUUUCUUGAAAGGUCACUUUAUCUUGUAUAAAUAGAUUACUCUUACCAUUUGGAAGAUCAUCGACUAUCUAGCCUUGAAUAAUAUCUGAAAGUUUUCUCUAAAAAUGGCAGCUUAAACUCUUUAAUUUUCCCUUUGGGAAGGUCGAGAUCUCUAUGAAGGUAACCAGACUCUGAUCUUGUGAUAAAAGUCCCUUGAACUGUUGAAAGCCCAAGAAAGGGAGACUGUUGUGUUCGAGAAUACCUUCAAAAAUUGGAGCUGGCUACUCUGAGUUUGGUAUCAAAGCCAGACCUAAAGGGAAAACUUUCAUCAUUUAUAUCUGUUUGUUUAUCUAUCAUCUAUCUAUGAAUUCAUCAUAUCUUGUAAACCCUGAUCCUUAUAAUUUUGCUGAUAUUCCUUCUGAUUGGUAUUGUCGUGUUUUUCAACAGGUGUGGAAGGAAACCCCAAUCUUUCAAUUUGAGACACUCAGUAAAGUAGAAUUAUUAGAAUAUAUAAAUAAGUUGCAAGCUGAAAUAUUAGAACUUUUAGAGUAUUUGCAUCUUUUUUCAUAUCAAAGAGUCAGUAGACAGGUUAUCAUAGAUUAUCUGUGGUAUCGUAUUUUUCUGAUAAAUAGUGCUGAUGAUUUCAAUAGAAUAGAUUAAAUUUCAAUAUCAAAUAUGAGUGCUUCUACUUCUAGUGAGCUUGUGUUAAAUAAAACUAAUAGUAAUAAAUUAGAUUAUCUGUAUGAAGUAUCUGUUGAAUCAGAGGUAGUUAAUCAUACCUCUUUACCUGUUAUUAAUCCCUAUUCUGCUUUUAGAAAACAACAAUUUUCACCAUUAAAAGCUAUUAAAUCCCUGAUCAAGCACCAUCCAAAGGGCAUAAAAGAAUAUAUCCAAGUUUCAAAGGUGGAUCAACAACUUAUCCUUGCUACUAAGAAGGAACAAUUCAUUACCCUCUACAUUCAUCCAAAAUUUCCUUCUCAAUGGAAACAACAAGGGUUUACCCAUAUCCACUUUGGUGCAAUCAGGUUUUCUUUAUCCUUUCAUGGUAGAAAAGGACUACCUAUGGUGGCUCGCAUAGCUUUGCUAGACACCGGAUUCACAAAGUACCAAUAUGCUUGUAUAGCAACUGUGAAAACUAUUCUUAAUGUUGGAACUGUUUUUGUGACCCUUUUCUCCAAUUUUAACAUGUCUCUGUCAGACCCUCAUUUGCUUGAUGCUCUCAAGGUUCAGGUACAAAUAAUAGAAGCAGAUCAGGCAACAGAUGUUAUUGUUGCAACCCUCUACUAUCAUAUGGUGUACAGGGUCCAAAACCUUGCACUGGGAUCUAACAAUUCCUGGUGGAAAAGAAGUUCUUUUCAUUCGUGUUGAUGAGAAAAAUUCAGCUUCCUGCACCCAUGUUCUCCGACAGAUCUCAAAAUCAGAGCUAAUUCAAUUAUUACCUGAUAAUUGGAUUACUAAUUAUGAGUCCCUACACUCUCAACCAAAUGAAUCCAUUGAGUCUUCAAACUCAAAAAUCUCCUAAACCACUGAAGGGAGAAUUUCUAUUACUUUUGAUCAUUCUCAUUUAAAGCCAAAUCCAAAGAAAUCUCAUCCUGCUGUUAUGCUUGCAGAGAUUCCUAUGGAGUUACCAACUGAAGAAGGAAAAGAACUAGGUGCUUAUGAUGAAAACUGGGAAAGAUGCAACCUUCAAGAUAUUAUUGCCUAUUUUAACAAGGAAGGUCAACCAGUUCAUCAUUUUCAAGAUCCUAUUUCUGGACAUAUAUAUUUUGAUGUAUGUAUCAGAUAUCAUGAAUGCUGGGAAAAUUCUCUUAUCGAUGAUGAUUAUUCAUCAUUCUCAAAGAAGAAAAAGAAAAAACAACUAGUUGAGUAUAGGCCAUGCAAGCUAGAUCUUGAACCAUAGGACCCUGACUCUAACAACUUCAUGUCAGAAAGAAGUAGCUUCGAUGGCUACCAAAUUCCAUCUUCAUGGAUCUCUCUAGAACCACAGGUUCCCAAACAAGUCCUUCAUCCUUACUAUUAAAAGUGUCUAGAUAUUUUGGAAAAGGAGGCCAAGAAAGAAACAAAGAAAGUAAAACAAGAAUGGAAGCCAAAGCCAGUACAACCAUCAAAAUGUCUGUACCAAAAGCCUAAGGAACCUCUUCAGCAGAUCUUCAUGUUCAAUGAAGAAGAUUUCCCCAAGUUAGAACCUUUUGCUAAAAAUGGUUCUAGACAUGUCCCAAAAGUUCAGAAUGCUCAUCCUAAAGUUCUCCCAAUAGGAGAAACGAUCAGAUCUAGUCCUACUGAGAAGAUUCUGAAUUGGCAGACUAAAAAUUUCUUGGUUCAAAAUACCGCUUUGACAUCCAUUCAUAAGAAUGUGACUGAGGUAAAAGGAAAAAUUGAUCAUAUUGCUACUGCAGUCAAAACUCAAAAUUCUCAAGUAUCACAUAUGAUUGAAGUUCUCAAAAAAAGGUUUGAAAAUUUGAAAUAUGAAUUGCCUUCACAUUCUUCAUCUUUGGCUAACUUUGUUUUGAAUCUGGAAAAGGAAACUCAUUUCAUCAAAAAUCAGAUUGAAACUCUCAGGACUACAGGUAAGGUUCCUGACUUUGAUGUUGGACCAAUUGAACCACCUGUACCAAAGGUAAGUCCAGGUUUUGGUGCCACUCCUAUAAGAAAUUGGCCAAAUCUUUUUUACUUUGGUGGUGUAACUACACCUAAUCCUUCUGUAUUCUUUCCAACUCAACAAGAACAGACUCCUCCUCCUUUUGAUAUUGCUAAAGUAUUACGAGAAUAUCGUAAGAACAAGCAAAAAUAAAAAGAUGAAGAAAAGGAAAGAAAGAAAGCUGACGAAGAAAUGAAAAGAAAAAGAAAAAGAAAUUGUUCAAGAGCCGGAUAGUUCAUUGAUGUAUACAAAAAUACAUACUAAUCCUAUAUUUUUUCUUGAACAGGAAAAGGAAGCAGAAAAGACUACCAGAAUUUAUGACAAUCCUUUAUCAUCCAUGUUGGAAGAACUACUUCAGGAAUCAGUGCCAUACAUUUCUACUUAUGACCAGUUGGAAAAAGAUUCAAAAGAAUCUAAUUCAAUGGAAUCAGAGCAAGAAUCUGAAUCAGAUGAUAGUCAAACUUCAGAAGAAUUUGAUGAAAUGACAUCUUCUGAAGAAGAAGAAAUACCGGUCAUAAACAUGGCUACUGAGGCAGAAGUAGUACAUCCUGAUGAUAAAGAAGAUAGUGAAGGAGAAGUCUGAAAUGCUUCCAGGACUCAGAGGACUACUUUUUCAAAAACAAAGGGAGUUCAAAUUUUUACUAUUACUAUUGAUGAUAUCCCAUCAGGAAAAUGGGAAGCAAGAUUCCAGGAUUUUCAUGCUUGGAUGAUUAUCCAGAAUCUUACAGAAGAAUCUCAUUUUGAAAUCUUGUCUAACUUCACUGCUCAUUUUUCAGGAAUCCUUAAGGAUUGGUGGUCGAGUUUAGCAAAGCAGGACAAGAUGUAUUUUUUAACUCGCCAAAAUUUCUCUGAAAACAUCAAUAUUCUGCAUUUAAUGUUUAUUAGAGAUGUGAAAAAGAGCAAGGAGACAAAAAGAAAAGAAAUGAAAUAUUUUUCUUAUGAUUGUAAAGAUAUUAAUACACAUUUCAAAAAGAUGACUAAAUUAUUUUUUGCUCUUGGUGCAUAUAUUAAUCUUAAACAAGCUUUUGUGAGUUCACUUCCGAAAUCUCUUGCUGAUGGAGCAGAAAUGUAUAUCCAUAACAAAUAGGGAUCUAUCUUGAAUUUGAAAUAUGGAUCUAUCUUGAAUUUGUCUGCAGGACAAAUUAAGCAGGCAGUGCUCUUAUCCUUGGAUGAUCUUUGCAACAAAAAAAAAGUUAUUCAAGAAUAUCUCAAAGGAGAUGUUUGCCUAGAUCAAUCUUGUAAAAAGCCUGAGUUAAUUACAAAAGGGAAGUGUCAAGCAUGUGCUCCUCACAAAGGUUGUGAUAGAAGUCAGUUUGCCGAUUUCUGGAUUUAAUGUGAGAUUUUGGUUAAUAUUUGGACCAUUUGCUGAUGAAUGUUGGGCGUCAUUCCUUUUUCUUAGAUUAGUUAAUUUGGAAUUGAAGGAGUUUGUAGUUUAGAAACUAACCAGGGUGAUGUUUCUCGGAUUUUGAUCACUGGUGCUUGAUAUAUGGUUUUUCUUGGUAUUUUGGCAAUAUGGUAGAUAGAGCAAUAGCCAUUGUCAAAUAUUGGUGUUUGUUUACUGUUCUUAUGUUUGAGGACAAGUAUGGUUUAGGUGUGGGGGGAAUUGAAAGGUUGCAAUUUUAUCAUUAAUUUUAUUAUUAAUUUCUCCUAUUACCUAAUUCAAUGUGGAUUAAUUAUUAGAUUCUAUUCACUUUUGACAAUUCGCAUUUAUUUCAGGGAGUUGAUCGAAAACACCAUAACAAGUGCCAAUUUAGCAAUCAUCAGGAAAGAGUUCGAGUAGCAAGUAUCCAGGGGCAUUUUUGAAACAAGAAGAUGCGGACCCUUUUUGGUAAUUUGUGGAAGACAACAUUGAAAAAGAAGAAAAGGUUGGAGUCUUCGGCUGGAUGGGGGGCGGCCGCACAGUAGCAGUAGGCUACUUAGAUACGAAAUGGAGAUUGCAGAGAACUAGCUCUAUCUUUAGCUUUUGACUUUUCUUCGUUUCUUUAGCUCUGAGUAGUUUUUCAUCUUCUUGGUAUGUAGGACUUUUAGCUUAGCAUUUCUUUUGACUCUUCCUUGGAGUCUUGGGUGGAUUCCUCCUGUGCAUGUCAGGAGCCCUUGGAGUAUUCAAUCACUUUCUAUAUUCUUUUACCAAUUGAAUGAAUUGAACCCCCUCGACCAAGGACAAUGGCUGUGACUUUUACUUCAAUUUUGCAUGGGUUUUUUGUAUCAAAUAUGAACUAAUUCCCUCACUCUAGUCAAGGAACAACAGAGACUUUGGUUCGCCUAAAAAUUGUGAGAUCGAUCUAAUUUUAUCAUUUUCUUUUAUUUAUUGGUAUUCACAUAUUUCUUGUUUGCAUUGCUUGUGAUUAUUUAAUUAAUUGAUUAUUUUGGAUCCGAAUAAUUAGUUAAUUUUGUAAUCUAUUGUCAAUUAGGGCAUUAAAUUCGUAAUUGCUUAAUUGCCUUGAAAUAGUGACAACUGGCAUGAUUAGAUUUGUGUCAGCGGUAUAUGCGGGCUAAUCUCAAAUAACCCUGGUAGUGCGUUAUUUGGUUAGAGUAGGGCUUCUCUAAUACGUAAGGCAAUUGGAAAAUUAAAUCUUAUGGGCGUACCUAGAAUUAUUUUCCAAUUAGGGCAGUGAUUAACGGGCGUACCUUAAUCACCGAUACAGUAAGGAGGGGUUGACUGUCAUCGCUUGUUUGGCAGUUAUAACCUAUUUAUUAAUAAAUAAUUGGAAUUGCUUGUGCAUCGAUGAUCAAUUAGGUGAACCAUUAUUGAAGUUAUUUCUUGGCUAGACCUUUAAUUAUUGUUACUCUAAUUUUAGUGAAUUGUCAUUUAAUUUCUAACUAGCUAUUUAUUUUUAUUUUUAUUUGAAUUUCUUUGAUUGUCUUCGUUUACACAAAAAUACCCCUUGUGUUACUUUGAAUUCUUAAGAGGCAAAUAUCCCCAAUCUCUGAGGAUACGACCCUACUUGCCCUGUCUACAAAUUCAUAAUUAUUUGUGAAAAAAGUCAUCCCAUUCGGGUAUAUCGGAUCAAGCAAACUCUUCGAGAAUAGGGUGAAUCAAGUACCCUAUUGCACAUCUAGAGUCCCUACUCCAGUACUUGGAAUCGAGUUUUGACUAUUUUAACUGGCAAUUAGGUUUAUUUUUAUUAUUGUACAGGUUUCGAUAACCUGUCAAUUUUUGGCACCGUUGCCGGGGACUGAUGCCAGAUUAAUUUGUUUCUUUUUAAGUUCAUCUUUUUUUCAUUUUUUAUUUAUUUUUCUCUUAUUUUUUUAUAUAGUUUAUGGCUGCUAACAUUCAGUACUUUGAUGAUAGAUUAGACUUUAUUCCUGAAUGGGGUUAUGAGACUUAUGUUUUUCCUAAUGAUCAAUGGGUUGUUACAAAUUGUGGAACUUAUUUUGCCUCAGGUUAUUCAACCGACACAUGCCCCGUAUUUCAAGAUAAUCUAAGUGCUCCAAUUGAUACUUUUGGAGAUUUUCCACCUCGAUUUCAAACGUGGUAUUGUUGACCUUGAUCCCUAACUUUUGAUAUUUACAAAAUAAUGGAUAAUAUUAAUAUCUAUUCAAGAAAUACUUUCAGUUAUGAAGUAAAUUAGAUUCAAAAGAUCAAGCGCAAUUGAAAAGGACAAAGGCUGCUGAAAGCUGUCGGACACUUGUGAAAUCAGGAUUGGACAUCCGAUACUCAUUGCGCAACUUCGAACACAUGAAGAGCUCCAUCACCGGACGUCUGAAAGAAUUAAGACAUUCCACCUAGCUCACUGAUCUCUUUCAGAUGCAAGUACCGGACGUCCGAUAGAAUUGAAGAAAAUUUCUCAAACUCACUACCUGCUGUCGGACGCAAAAAAUAGGAGUACCGGACGUCCGACACUCCCAACGGCUAGUUGACUCUUCAACUACUUUCUAUUCGUUGAAAGUAUUAAUGAAGCACUUUCUUGAUUUCCUAUAAAUAGAGUAUGGUCAGAAACUCCAAAUUACUUUUGCACACUGAAGAUAUAAAAGAUCUUAAAUAAUUUUAGUGAGAAAACACUCUCCAAGAAAGAUUUGUAGUCUUAGUGAUGUGGGGUUCAUUGUAAGUUUUUCAUUUGUGAGUGAAUAUUUCAUGAAUGUAGCUCUGUGAGGGUUGUCUUGAGGGAUAGUAAAACUUCCUAAUUUGACCGAAUAGAGUUCGGGACAAGGAGGAGGUAAACCUUCCUUUGUACACAAGAGUGAUUGUAAUUUAUCAACUUGAAGAAGUUUGUUUAAAUUAAUCUACAAGCUCAAGAGGAGUUGAGUAGUUAAUUGGUUUGCAAUUCUUUCCUUUUUAUUUACUUAUUGAUACGUUUGUGAUUUUUACAUUGCUUAUCUCUUCUACUUCUCUCAAGUGAUUUUGUUCAUUCAUUAAUUGAUUCAUUGUGUGAUCACUUAGAAAAGAGGGUAAAUUUCAUAUUGAACAAAAAGUACCCAUAACUUGAUUAACUUUUUAAUCAAUCUAAUUCACCCCCUCUAAGGUUGUCUUCGAUCCUUACAAUUGGUAUCAGAGUUUGAUUUUCUAGAGAUUAACCUCAAGCAGCUUAGGAGUAAAAAUGACAACCAAUAAUGUCAUAUUUUUUAAAGGACAUUCUGUGAUUAGACCGCCUAUAUUUAAUGGGUUAAAUUAUGUGAGUUGGAAAGAAAGAAUGGUUAUAUUUUUGCAAUCAAUUGAUAUUGAAUUGUGGUUUAUUAUUAGUGAAGGUCCAUAUGAUACCUCUCUUAUAGAUGAAAAUACUCAUAAAUCUAGACCAAAAACUAGAAAUGAACUGACUGCUGUGGAUAGAGCUCAUCUUAUCUUAAAUGUGAAAGCCAUGAAUGUGUUAUAUUGUGCUUUAGAUUCAAAUGAAUCCAUUAGGGUCAAAGGGUGUAAGUCUGCUAAAGAAAUUUGGGAUAAACUUAGAGAAGUCUAUGAAGGAAAUGAGAAUGUGAGAGAACAAAAGAAGUCUAUUCUGGUUACCAAAUAUGAAUCGUUCAAGAUGGAACCUCAUGAAAACAUUGAUAAGAUGUGUUGUAGAUUCAAUGACUUCAUUAAGGAUUUAGAGGUGCUGGAAAAGGAAUACUCUCUAUGUGAGAAAAAUAGAAAAAUUUUGAAUGCUUUAUCAAAGGAUUGGGAGAAUAAAAUGACUGUCAUUGAAGAAGUUAGAGAUCUAAAUUCCUUACCUAUUGAAUCUCUUAUUAAUUUUCUAAUUUCUUAUUGUCGCGCCCCAUUUUUUAAUAAUAAAUAAGAAUGAUAAGUGAAUGAAGUAUGGUUUGAAAAAUGGUGAUGUGUGUGAAAAUGAAAGGGAAAGGCCAUGGGACUUUGAAAUGCGACAUUUUGGCCAAAAAUAGUAAUCUAAAAAGGUUUUGGUAAAAUGUAGGAGUCGCACUUGGUAUUGAAUUAGGGUGUACCAAGUCACCCAAAAAAUGUGGAUUUAAAUGUAAAACCUUUUUAGAUUGACUCCAAAAUCUACGAUAAAUCAGAGAAAAAUGGUCCGGGGGUCACAGUUGAAAAGAGGGAAGGCAAAGACAAUGUCUAAGGCAACAUCUCAAUCUAACUUAAGUUAGUUGCAUGAUUUAGUCAUGAUUUUCCUAAUUUCUAACCAGAAGAUGUAUCGCAUUUGGAUGUAACUAAUAUGAAUGCAUCCUAAACCUAAUGAGGAAUCCAAAGGGACAAAUAUCUCUUAGAAGCUCGAACAGACUAAAUCACAUGAGUUGUGAUAGCCAAGGAUAACCCCUCCAAGAGGUCACGAGUAAUGGUAAUGACGAAAAAAUGAAUGGAACGAAUGUAUGCAAUGUGAAAACAUGAGCUUGUGUGAAGUGAAAAAAGUAAUAAUAAAAAUAAUUGUGUGUAAGUGGGAAUGUGCAAAUGGGGGUGCAGGGUGAGGUAUGUAAAGUGAUGGUAUGAAGUGCAUGUGUGCUCAGUGGUAGUAUGUAAAGUGUUAGUGAUAGAGUGAGAAUGUGUAAGAUAAGAGUCAUGUGAAGUGAACAUGUGAAAAAAGUAAUAGUAUAUGAAGUGAGAGUGCAAAGUGAUAGUGAGUAAAUGAAAUGUACGAAUCCUAAAGGAAUGCAAACAAAACGGGUACGGGGAGACCCUAAAUCGUGACUUUUGCUUUUCCUUUUGGUUAGACAAAGAAUGAGCGUGCUAAGGCUGUGUGUAGCCAAACUCGUCCAUUCCCCUUACCAGAAGGGUGACUCUCUAAACUAAUCAGGCAAAUGACCCUAAUAACUAGAAUGAAAUGCAACAAAUCCUAAAGAUCAUACUUAGAAUGUGGGAAAGGGGAAAGGAUCAUGCAAAAAUGUAAAAAUACUAACAAAUGCAUGAAAAUGUAGUGAGGGCAUGCGAGCAUGUACUAGCGAGGGAUGGCCCUAUUGGGUCUAGCAUUGAACUAACCCUUUACUAACGCUCUCUCACAAGCAUUGGACUUGUGAGCGAUCGGGAAUAAAUAACCAUGACUAGCAUUGGAUUAACCACGGUAACGUGCAUUCCAUCCACAUAAUCAGAUAUAAUACCAAAAAAAUAAAUAGGCAUGCCAAGCACAUAGUUUCACAUAGCACAUAGCACAUAAGCAUGCUUAUUUAGAUGCAAAAGCCUAGGGAAAGCAAUUAAACACAUAGCACCUAAGCAUGCAAAUCACACAAGCGAAUAAAAAUCCUAACUAUUAGAGGGGGGCCUACUACAAUUUAAAGGGGGAAAUGAAAAUAAAUGAAUAAAAUAAAUACCUAACUAUUACAACUUGGCAUUCAAGCCUUUCAAAUAAUAAAAUCCAAGCUUGAAAAUAAAUAUUCAAAACUUGAAACAAAUAAAACAAAUAAAUGAAAUAAAACAUUCAAGAGGCAUGUAAUUAAGCACAUAAAGUUACAUAAGGGCACAUAGAAAGUCAAAUAAGUAAAAAUAAGGGAUAGAGUGUACCUUCCUUGAAUUGGGGCCCCAAAUAAAGUGAAAUGACUUAUUUACCCUCCAAAACAAUAAAAAUGUCAAGGUACCACUUUAAUUAGAAAAUGAAAGAAAAUGUCCAAACACGAGCUCGCGUGGUCAUAAAGCCCUUAAAAUCAUGAAUUAAGUGCAAUUUAAACAAAGCAUGGUAGUUAAUUGAAGCAAACAAGCAAUGAAGUUGCAAAAUUAAGGCUGCCAAGGACAAAAUUGAUGAAAUUAUUCAAUUGAUUGGGUCAUAGUAGCAUCAAGGAGGCUUGAGGGGUUAAAAGGCAAUUUUUUAAAAGUAUUUUGGCAUGCAUGCAUUGAAGACUUUCGGCCAAAUGAAGUCACUUUGUUUUUACCAUUUCUGCUGCAAUAUAAUGGGUUUCUCAGAUGCAAUCCUAAAACAACUAACAUCUCAUUCAAUCAAUCAAAGCUAUCGACAUUAAUUAAAGAUCACCACCGAAUUCAAUAAGUCAACAACUUAGAAUGAGGUAAUGUAAAAUCCAGCAACCUUUCAUGCAAAGUGACGUGUGAAACAUUCUGCAACAAGGUUUCACAAACUUAUGAAGCUUUCGGCAAAAGACUUCAAACCAAAUCUACUAAAACCGUUGCUCAACACUCGUUGUUUAUCAACCCAAAUUCACGUACCUCCACAAAUUCUUAAUUCAAACAUGGUUGUUCAGCUUUAAUGAAUCCCUCAGAUAGAACCCGAGCCAAGAAAACAAAGACAAAACAGUAAAAUGCAGCAAAGGACUCCAGCCGAAACUUCAUUUCGAGCAACUGGAGUCCUUUUCUCUUAAUGCAAAUAGUCACAAUGGAUUCACAGUAUUGCACCAAUUCAUCUUUUAUUAUGUUCUUAACUGGCCCAUGGACAACACAUUCCGAACACCGAAUGAAAACAGGUCAUGGCAAAAUUGAUAAACUCAUGAAACUUUGAAACUUCAACAACUUCCAGUCACAAGCGCAGCAAAUGUGACUUGCACAGCUAUUAAAACUCGACCAGAAAAUCAAGGAAAGAAAAAGUUCUGUAGCAUUGCUGUAAUAUCUCAGCCCAACAUAAAUCAGAAAAUAGACAACCCUCUUCAAACGCAGAAACCAGACAGGGAGCUGAAAGGGUUAGAUGGAACAUUACAAGAACAAGACAUAUUCGGACUGUGAAAAUGCAAAUGAAAUGCAAGAAAACAGCGAAAACCUCCUUUUAUUUCAUGCACUUGAAGGGCCAGUAGCCAAUAUGAUGAACAAUCAUCAACUUGAUGAUGGACUUCAAUACAAACAGAAAUAAAGGUCAUGCAAAUCGGGAAAACUUUCUACAACUUCCUCGAUAUUCUUAAUCAAGCUCAGAAAACAGCAUUAUCCAUCUUGUUAUGAGCAAAAUAGAUUAUGUAAAAGGUCAAACCACUCUAAUGAGUCUAGACCACAAACCAAAACAUGUAUCUAUCCACUUGAAACAAACUAAACCUGAUAGCCUAAGUAUAACGAAUACAAGGCAACAUGGAGAAUGUCAAAACCCCAACCCCCUUCUUCUACUUCCCCCAGACCCAAUAUUAUAACCCAAGACCUCCAAACAUUACCGCAAGUUAAACAGGAAACACUGCCUAAGAUUUCAUGUCAUUUUCUGAUUUUGUUCAUACAAUCACAUGCGGGUCAGCCAUGAACAAUAAACAAACGUUUCGCGCAUUCAUCAUAUAACCCCACGAAAGAAAAGACAAAGAACAACCCAAAACGUAACAGCGAAGAUCUCAACAUUUCUGAGCCAAAUCUGAUGGUAUUUGACGGGUAAGGAUGAAGAUAUUACCUUAAUCACCAAGUGAGGCAAGGGAUGAUCAAGAAAAGGUUCAGAUGGUUCUGCUAGAGCUUAAAAGGAAUGCCAAUGGAAAACGAUGAUGAUGAUUCAGUCACCUCCUUGCAACCCCAAACCAGACUCUCUCUUUUUUUUGAUGUCUUCUCUCGUUUACCGUCACCUCUGUCUUUCCUCCUUGCUCUAUCUUAGUUGUUACUCGCUCUCCGUCUCUAUGAAACCUUCCUCUAAGCCCGUAGUUCUCUCCCUUUUUUCCCUUAGUUUCCUCUCCAUUUCUCUCCUAGCCGCCAAACCUAUCUGCUAUCAUCAGUCGUCCUCUCCCCUCUCUCACCGUAACCCCCCCUCUUUUCACUUUGCUGCGGCUGUGACCCUUUUAUCGGGAACUCGGCUCUCUAACCCUCAUUUAAAGGGCUCCCCAAGAAUCCUCAAUUCCUGCCUUUUCUUUUAGCCAUUGGAUCCUUUCCCUUCUAGGUUACUCCCGCAUGCUUCUUUUCUUUUCUUUUUUCUCUUUUCUUUUUUUUUUCCAAUGAAUCGGUUAAUCAAUAAUAAACAAAAAUAACGAAAAUAACAAUUUAGGUAAAAUCGAAUAAAAUGAACAAAAACUAGGAAUAAAAAGAUAAAACCAACAUGCCAAAAUUUUUGUGCUUGAUUGAUGAUUUUCUCUCUUUUUUUUUUCUUUUUUUUUUUGAAUUAAUUAAUAAUAAUAAAACAAUUUUCUUAAUAGAAAUAAAAAUAAGAUGAGCAGAAAAUUAAAACCAAAUCAACUUAAUAAGAUAAAUAAAUACAUAAAAUAAAAAAAGUUAAAAUUUUGGUGUCUACACUUAUGAGUUAAAACUUAAGUCCAAAGUGCAAGAGGAAGAGGAUGCGAAAAUAAGAAGGAACAUUGCUCUAAAGGCAUCUCAAGAUAAAGAUGAUUCUGCUUCUCUAGAUGAAAAAGAUGCGGAAGCUGAUGAUAGUGAUCCAGCUCUCAUCACAAAAAGUUUCAUGAGAAUUCUCAACAAACGAGGGUUCAGAAAAAGAGGAAACAACAACACAUUCCCAAAUCAGUUCAGCAAUUUAAGAAACAAAGAGAAGCAAGAGUUCAAUAAAAUGCAAACUGAUAAAUGCUUUGAAUGCGGCCAACCUGGACACUACGUGAGUGAGUGUCCAAUGAAGUAGAGAAAGUUGAAAGAAAACCAAGAUUCAAUAACUUUCAAUUCACAUGGAAUGAGUGCAACUCCGAUAGUGAAAGUGAAGAGAAAGAAGAAUCUGCUCAAUUGGCUUUUAUGGCCAUUGGAGAUGAUGAGGUAACAACUUCUAAUUUUCAAUUUGAAAGUGAUGAUGAUCUUGAAUCUUUCAUUAUAAAAUUGCAUGAUAGUUUGAAAGAAUCUUAUGCUAGAAACAAGAAAUUAAAAUAUAAAAUCGGCCUUCUUUUUCAGAACAAUGCACGUUUUUUUCAAGAAAAUAAAAAGCUGAGAACUGAAAGUGAUUUCUUAAAAAAGAGUGAGACUGUUUUACUUUUUGAGUUUGAUAGAAAAACAAGACUUUGUGAAAUGUUCAAAAAGGAAUAAGGUGAUUUGAAAAAAAGAAUGAAUAAUUUAAAUGAGUUGGUCCAACAUAAAAAAUAAGACAGUUUUUAAGGUAAUAAAUCAAAACCUCAUUUUGGCACUUAUGAGAAGAAGAUAAAUUCUGUUACAAAUGAAUUUGCUAUUUAUAAGAGAAGACAAGUAAGAUUUAUUAAACAUGUUCAUGUAAAUAACUCUUUGGUUAUGUGUAAUUUUUGUUGUCAAAAAGGUCACAUGAAAAGUGAUUGCUAUGUGAAAAAAAACAUGAGAAGAGGUAUGAAAUGCAUGUGGAUAGUUAGACAUGAUACUGACUCUAAUAAAUAGUAGAUAUUGGUAAAAUUGGUGAGAUUCUUGUUCAUAAUAUUUUUUUAGUAAUUCUCUUUUGAUGUUUCUGAUGCUUUGAACUAAAUUUUUCUUGAUAUUUUUGAAUAUUACUAAAUUUGUAUGAUGUCAAAAAGGGAGAGAAAAGAACAACUCUGAUCUAAUAAUGAUUUGCUUUGUUAAACUCUCUGUGAUAUGUUGGUAUGUUGGUGAUUGCUGAAUUCUGAUAUCAUUUCUCUGUUUUUGUUUGAAAUAUUGAAUUCUCUGUUAUUGUUGCUGGAUUUUGGUAUGAGUUUUUUACUCUCAUCUUAUGAUGAUAAAAAAUGGGGAGAAAUGAAUGCUAUAUGUAAGGGGGAGUUAUUCUGAAAUUAUAAGUUUGGAUGCAAUGAGUGAGGGGAAGUUUAUGCUCAUAUGCUCAAUCUUUUUCUUUCUUCCAUCCAUUAUUUUGUCAUCAUCAAAAAAGGGGAGAAUGUUGACCUUGGUCCCUAACUUUUGAUGUUUACAAAAUAAUGGAUAAUACUAAUAUCUUUUCAAAAAAUACUUUCAGUUGUGAAGCAAAUCAGAUUCAAAAGAUCAAGUGCAAUUGAAAGGGACAAAAGCUGCUGAAAGCUGUCGGACGCUUGUGAAGUUAGGAUCGGACGUCCGAUACUCAUUGCGCAACCUCGGACACAUGAAGAACUCCAUCACCGGACGUCCGAAAGAAUUAAGACAUUCUACCUAACUCACUGAUCUCUUUCGGACGCAAGUACCGGACGUCCGAUAGAAUUGAAAAAAAUUUCUCAAACUCACUGCCUGCUGUCAGACGCAAAAAACAGGAGUACCGGACGUCUGACACUCCCAACGGCUAGUUGACUCUUCAGCUACUUUCUAUCCGUUGGAAGUAUUAAUGAAGCACUUUCUUGGUUUCCUAUAAAUAGAGUAUGGUCAGAAACUCCAAAUUACUUUUGCACACUGAAGAUACAAAAGAUCUAGAGUAGUUUUAGUGAGAAAACACUCUCCAAGGAAGAUUUGUAGUCUUAGUGGUGUGAGAUUCAUUGUAAACUUUUCAUUUGUGAGUGAAUACUUCAUGAAUGUAGCUCUGUGAGGGUUGUCUUGAGGGAUAGUAAAACUUCCUAACUUGAUCGAGUGGAGUUCGGGGUAAGGAGGAGGUGAACCUUCCUUUGUACACAAGAGUGAUUGUAAUUCAUCAACUUGAAGAAACUUGUUUGAAUUAAUUUACAAGUUCAAGAGGAGCUGAGUAGUUAAUUGGUUUGCAAUUUUUUCCUUUUUAUUUACCUAUUGUUACGUUUGUGAUUUUUACAUUGUUUAUCUCUUCUACUUCUCUCAAGUGAUUUUGUUCAUUCAUUAAUUGGUUCAUUGUGUGAUCACUUAGAAAAGAAGGUAAAUUUCAUAUUGAGCAAAAAGUGCCUAUAACUUGAUUAGCUUUUUAAUCAAUCUAAUUCACCCCCUCUUAAGUUGUUUUCGAUCUUUACAGGUAUGACCUUUACCCAAACAGGUAUGAUGAAGGAUGGUGGGAUAAUUUCAAUUUUAAUUAUGCGACCGGGCCAAUAGAUUUUCAACAGCAAGAGUCUCAACAACCAUCAUCCAUGCCAGGUAUGUCUCUUGAAGAAAUGAUUGAAUUUCUAGCUGCUAAUACAUAUCGAUUUCAUCAGGAGACACAAACGAGUAUUCGUAAUAUGACGGAUCAAGUGCAACUAUUGACAUCCGGGAUGGCGGAUCAAGUGCAUCUAUUGACAUCCAGGAUAACGCAAUUGGUUUCUCACAUUUGUGAAGAAUUCCCCUCACGGACCAACAUCAACCUUGAGGAAGAUGAAAGUGCAAUUAUCAAUUAUCCGGCCAAAUGACAUGGAACUGCAAGAGUUUCAAGGAAACGAAUCUAAAGAUGCAGUUGAAAAGGAAGUUGAUGUGCAAAAAAUGAGUCCCCAGUAUCAACUCAUCCAAGUGAAUGAAUCCAGUGGACAACCUCCAUAUGCGGUGACAUCUCCUCCAUUCCUUAAUCAAUAUUCUCCUGACUCUUAUUUUUUAAUUUCUGUUAAUGAAAUUGACUUUAUUAUACCAGAAAAUCUUGAAUUUCAUGACAGGAAUAAAUUAAGAGUGGCGAUGGCAAGGUAUCUUGGACCAAUAAAUGCAUGUGAGGAAGGAGUAAAUGGAAAAUUUAAAUUAUCGUUGACUUGUUUGUCGUCAUUUACUAGUCCAUGGAAGACCGUAACUCGUGUGCUCAAGAAUUAUUCUAUUUACGAGAAUUAUCAGAAUUAUAUAGAGGAUGAAUCAUUAAAACGAGUCACAAGAUUUUAUCCUCCAUGAACAAACAUGACAAUGUCUAACUAAAGACGUUAAAGAAAGGCGCUCAUUGGGAGGCAACCCAAUUUCUUUUAGUCAUUUGUUCGUUUUUAUUUGUUAGUUUAAAUAUGUUUUCCUUGAAUUUGACUGAUUUCUUGCUUCAAUUUUCAUUUUUGAUGACUCGUAGGUAUCUCUCUGACAUGACGUGCCCGCGUCAUGUCGUAUGGAGAGCUCAUGGUCAGAAGGGUUCUUGUUUUUUUACGUGCUCGAGUCACGUUCACGAGAAAGGUAAAUAUUCAAAUUUCGAGAAAAUUUUCGAUUACCUGUUAAUCUCUAAUUUUUAAUUUUGAAAAUAAGUUUUGUUAAUAAUAAUAUAGUAAAAAAAUGAAAAUAAAAAUAAUUAAAAAAAUAAAAAAAAAUUUCUUUCGUUUGACCGUAGCUUGGAUUUUCAAAUUUCAAAUUUUUAAUUUAAAAAAAAAACUAUUUCUUUUUUCUUUUUCUUCUUUUUUCUUUCUUUCCUUUUCUUUUUCUUUCUUUCUUUCCUUUCUUCCCUUCUUCCUCUUGUCUUUCUUUCUUCUUCCCCGAUCCCUUCUUCCCUUUGUCCGCCGCCACCUCUGCUCACUCACCACUCGCGCGCCGAAGUUCUCCCACAGUCGACGCUGCCAGCUUCUUCUCUCCCUUUCAGACCACCACUUUGACCCGACUUCAGGGAAGUUUUGUGGUCUUUUCUCCUACUUUUGAUGUUUAUUUGCUACAUUGAGGGCAAUGUAUCGUUUAGGUGUGGGGGAGGAUUAGUUGUGGUUCUAAUUUUUAGUAGUUUUUAGUUUUUAGGUGUUUUUUCUUUAUUUCUAGUUUGUUAUUUGUCUAUCUUUCAUUCAUUUUCUUUCUUUCUUUUUGGUGCUUAGUUCUCAUGUGAAUACCAAGGUUUGAUGUUGGGUUAUUGACUCUAAUUCUACUAUUGCCAUGUUUUAAUAAUAAAAGUGUAUCUAGUUAAUGUGGUUGAAUCCAGACGUCUCUUUGGUGAAUAUCGGUGAUUGCUUGAUUCUUUUGAUUUCUUUGUUAACUUUUCUAGGCAUAGGGAAUGAUUGUUGGCAUUUUUAUGUGAAUUGGUCUAGUAUUAACUUUAGUUCUCCAUAUUUGAAGAAAUGAGGCUAGCGGCUGCUAUUUUUGUUUUCUUUUGCUAUGUUAUUUUGAGUUAUUGUGUUAUUUGGCUGUGAAAUAAAGUUGAAUGUACUCCGCUAGUCAUUACUACUGAGUAACUGGGGAUCUUCACCUAAAGUGUCGAUUUUCGCAUAAAAAAGUAGUAAUUUCUAUGAGUACGUGGUCGUAUAGCGAUAAAAACUGAGUAACCGGGCUCCUUCAUCUGAAAAAUGUCGGAGUUUGGGUCAAAAGGCUCCAAUGGUUAGAGACUAAGUCUUUUGUGCUAUCUUAAAAAAAAGAAAAACAAAAGGAAAAAAUAAAUAAUAGAAAACGUGAAAAAAAGUGUAGGUUGUGUUAGUGUGUGAUAGAAGUCAGCUUGCCGAUUUCUGAAUUUAAUGUGGAGAUUUUGGUUAAUAUUUAGACCAUUUGUUGAUGAAUGUUGGGCGUCAUUCCUUUUUCUUAGAUUAGUUAAUUUGGAAUUGAAGGAGUUUGUGAUUUAGAAGCUAACCGGGGUAAUGUUUCUCGGAUUUUGAUCACUGGUGCUUGAUAUAUGAUUUUUCUUGGUAUCUUGGCAAUAUGGUAGAUAGAGCAAUAGCCAUUGUCAAAUAUUGGUGUUUAUUUAUUGUUCUUAUGUUUGAGGACAAGCAUGAUUUAGGUGUGGGAGGAAUUGAUAGGUUGCAAUUUUAUCAUUAAUUUUAUUAUUAAUUUCCCUUAUUACCUAAUCCAAUGUGAAUUAAUUAUUAGAUUCUAUUCACUUUUGACAAUUCACAUUUAUUUCAGGGAGUUGAUCGAAAACACCAUAACAAGUGCUAAUUUAGCAAUCAUCAGGAAAGAGCUCGAGUAGCAGGCAUCCAGGGACAUUUUUGGAACAACAAGAUGCGGACCCUUUUUGGUAAUUUGUGGAAGACAACAUUGAAAAAGAAGAAAAGGUUGGAGUCUUCGGCUGGAUGGGGGGUGGCCGCACAGUAGCAGUAGGCUACUUAGAUACGAAAUGGAGAUUGCAGAGAACUAGCACUAUCUUUAGCUUUUGACUUUUCUUCGUUUCUUUAGUUCUGAGUAGUUUUUCAUCUUCUUGAUACGCAGGACUUUUAGCUUAACGUUUCUUUUGACUUUUCCUUGAAGUCUUGGGUGGAUUCCUCCUGCGCAUGUCAGGAGCCCUUGGAGGAUUCAAUCACUUUCUGUAUUCUUUUACCAAUUGAACGAAUUGAACCCCCUCGAUCAAGGACAAUGGCUGCGACUUUUACUUCAAUUUUGCAUGGGUUUUUCGUAUCAAAUAUGAACUAAUUCCCUCACUCUAGUCAAGGAACAACAGAGGUUUUGGUUCGUCUAAAAAUUGUGAAAUCGAUUUAAUUUUAUCUUUUUCUUUUAUUUAUUGGUAUUCGCAUAUUUCUUGUUUGCAUUGCUUGUGAUUAUUUAAUUAAUUAAUUGUCUUGGAUCCGAAUAAUUAGUUAAUUUGGUAAUCUAUUGUCAAUUAGGGCAUUAAAUCCUUAAUUGCUUAAUUGCUUUAAAAUAGUGACAACUGACAUGAUUAGAUUUGUGUCAGGGAAAUAUGUGGGCUAAUCUGAAAUAACCCUGGUAGUGCUUUAUUUAGUUACAGUAGAGCUCCUCUAACACGUAAGGCAAUUGAAGAAUUAAAUCUUAUGGGCGUACCUAGGAUUAUUUCCCAAUUAGAGCAGUGAUUAACGGGUGUACCUUAAUCUCCGAUACAGUAAGGAGGGAUUGACUGUCAUCGCUUGUUUGUCAGUUAUAAUCUAUUUAUUAGUAACUAAUUGGAAUUGCUUGUGCAUCGUUGAUCAAUUAGGUGAACCAUUGUUGAAUAUUUCUUGGUUAGACCUUUAAUUAUUUUUACUCUAAUUUUAGUGAAUUGUCAUUUAAUUUCUAGCUAGCUAUUUAUUUUUAGUUUUAUUUGAAUUUCUUUGAUUGUCUUCGUUUAUACAAAAACACCCCCCGUGUUACUUUGAAUUUCUUAAGAGACAAAUAUCCUCAAUCCCUGAGAAUACGACCCUACUUGCCCUGUUUACAAAUUCAUAAUUAUUUGUGAAAAAAGCUAUCACAUUCGGGUAUAUCGGAUCAAGCAAAAUUUUCGGGAAUAUGGUGAAUCAAGUGCCCCAUUGCACACCUAGAGUUCUUGCUCUAGUACUUGGAAUCGGGUUUUGGCUACUUUAACUGGCAAUUAGGUUUAUUUUUAUUAUUGUACAGGUUUCGACAACCUGUCAGUUCUCAAAAUCAAAAUGGAGUAAAAUUAAUUUCAGAAAUUUAGGAUGAACUUCAUUUCCAAUUUUCUGAUUUAGAAUAUGAAUUUUCUGAACAGGAAGAUGUUACUGACCAUACCCUAUUGGCCUUACAGGUACCCGAUAAAAUAUGUAGUAUCCGACGAACAAACAACAAAGGGUCUUAUCCCCAUACGCUUGUUCAUAUUUUCCUGGAUAAGUAUUCCAAAUCAAUUCCAAUAAUUGCUUUCUUUGAUUCAAGUGCAUCUUUGUCAAUCAUGAAAAAAGACAUUUGACCUGAUGAAUGUUGGGUCCAUAAGACUCAUGAUUUCAAAGCAGCUAAUGGUGAGUUUUUUCAAACAAAGUUUACAACGAAAGACCCAAUCACCAUUAAACUUCUCCCAGAUUGUCAAAUAAAAUCAAAAUUUUUGGGAGCAAAUUUUACUGGAAAAGAUCUCAUUCUUGGUUUUGAUGUUUACAAGACUAACCAAUAUCGUUUUACACCUUUCGGGAUCAAGUCCAAAAAGUUUUUCAACCCUUAUUUGUUACCGUGGAUUAGUUCGUGUAACUAUUCUAUUUAAAUUAUUUCUACCUUGUGUCAAUUGGUAUCAGAGUAGGUUUCUCCUAUUUCUACAUUAUACCAAUGGCUGGCAACAAAUCUGGUGAUGAAACUUCUGCCCCUAAAUUGUAAAUUUAGAUUACAAACAGAUGGAUUGAUUGCUUGGAUAAAAAUAGUUGGUUGCUUGGAGAAUUAUAUUAACUGUAUCCAGGAAAACAUGGAGUGUGCUCGGAUUGUAAAUUAUUUGAGAUAAUUUUAUGAAAAAAUACUAUAGCACUUUUUGAUAUAAUGUAUGUAAGAUAAAAAGGUGAUUGAAAAAUAUAUUGAUGAUACAAGUAAAUCAGUAUAUAUAAAUAAGAUAUAAAUAAAGUAAAAUAAUUGACAAUCCAAACAUACUCAUGGAUAUCAUGAUGGAUCGUUUGAAUGAUGACAGAGUGCCCUUUGACCGAACUCGAGUCAUUGAUGAGCAACGAAGACUUCAUAGAUAGCAGGCCUAUGAGGAAGAUUCGUUUGCAAACGAGACAUUAAUUGAUUUGGCAGGGAAAGCCCUAAUAAAGAGGUAAUCGAGUCAAAAUUGAGAGCCUGAAAAUUUUAAAUUAAAGGUGGAUCUUCCCUCCUUCAAUGGUGAUUUAGGUAUUGAGGAAUUGGAUUGCAGAAAUUGAAAGAUUCUUCAACUACAUGGAAAUCCCAAAGACUUCACAAGUCAAACUCAUGGCUUAUCAGUUGAAGAGUAAUGCGUCAUCUUGGUGGGAACAGUUGCAAUCUCGAAGGCGUCACUGACGAAAAUAGCCUGUAAGGACAUGGGUUAAAAUGAAGCCUCUUUUGACUACUAGAUUUUUACUGCCUGAUUAGGAGUCGUACUUGUACUUACAAUUUUAACACUGUACCCAACGUAAAAGGUCUGUUCAUGAAUAUUAUUCUGAAAUUUUGCUAUUACAAUCCUGUAACAAUAUUAUGGAGACCGAGGGUCAACUCAUGUUGAGGUUCCUGGAUGGUUUAGAUACGAGUGUAUGGGAAGAAACUGGUAUUCAACCAUUUUUUAAGCUGUCAGAUGCAAACAACCUAGCCUUGAAAGCUAAGAUGAAUUUGGCUUGGAAACGAAAUGCAGGGAAAGGGAGUUCGGAGGAUCGUGUAGAAGAGUUCGUAGAAUCGCCAUUCAGUGAAGCAUCUUGGUCAGCACCAAAGGUUUGUCCAAGCACGACCAAUUAGUGACGUGAAGGGAACUAUUAAGAAGGUCAAUACCAAUCCAAACCCUCCACAAAAUCCUAAAGCUAAUAUGAAUACCUACGCUAAGCCAAUGUGCGAUAAGUGUUGAAGACGUCAGCAAUCUGGGCAUCAAUCACAUAACUGUCCAUAACAUAAGGCUAUGAAUUUUGUGAAAAAUACGGGACAGGAUGAUAUGGAGGAGAAAAGCUGUGAGUGACUAGUGUAUGCGGUGCAAAGAAUUGAGUCUAGGGAGGAAAAGUUUGAUAAAUGACGCGAGCAAAUUUUUAGAACCAGGUGCAAAAGUUUUAAUCAAUUUUUUGACUUGGUAAUUGCUAGUGAAAGCUGUGAAAAUAUUAUUUCUAGAUUGAUAGUGAAAGCUGUGAAAAUAUUAUUUUUAGUACUUUGGUUAAAUUGCUAAAUUUGCUUGUUGAACUAUAUCAUGAGCCUUACAUGAUUAGCUGGAUAAAGGAUGUGAAAUCUGUAAAAGUAGUUAAAGAGGUAUUUAGUUCCUUUGUCCAUAAGUAAAUAUUAUAUUGAUAGUGUUAUGUGUGAUAUGGUGGAUAUGGUUGCAUGUCAUUUGUUAUUUGGAAGAUCAUAGCAGUAUGAUCAAGGUGUGACUUUCUAUGGAAGGGAAAAUGUCUAUCGCUUCGUUAAGGAUGGCAAGAAGAAGAUUGCUUUAGUGCCAAUGAAGCCAGGGUAACGGUCCAAAGUAGUUCAUAUGGUUGACAAUAACUUAUUAACUAUUAUAACUUUGGUUUGUGAUUUGAAUGGAGGUAAUGAGCUAGAUGCUGUCAAAGUGGAAGAAGUUAUUUCUCAUGAUAUACUUGAAGAGAAAGUGCCACAAGUUGAAGAAGGUAGCGUGCAUCUCAGUAAGCCACUAGAUACAACCCCAAUAGAGUUCAUGCCAGCUUUUAGUGAAGAUUGGGUGAAUCAAAGUCUGGUGAAUCUUCAAGCAGUGGGUGUCGAGAAGAAGCCUGAUCUAAUGAAGACUUUCAUUGUUCAAGAGGACAAUUCCAAAUUUAUUUUGACAAUGGAGAAUGAUAUGGUCAUUGCUUUUGAACUUGUAUCUGAGUCCAUGGCGAUGGAGUUGCAAGUUUUCUUUAUAAUCCAGUUCGUGUUGGUGGUUGAAAGGUCUUUUUGACUUCAAAGGAGAAUCGUGGAAUUGCUAGUCUGUGGGUGCUUGAAAGUUUCCUUGGGAAUUCGAGAUCGAGUUCUUUUGAAUUGGAGAGGACUGGUGUGGAAUGAGUGGCACAAGAAAUCUUAGACCAAAUCGAUGAAGCAAAGGAGCAUAAGAAUAAGCGGCGCGGAGAACAUUCUGAAGCAUCAGGAUGAAAGCACGGCCUAAAAUAUGGCCUCACCUGUGUUUUCAUCACCCACGUUUUGCUUCCCGAAGACUUCCAACGACAACUCCAGCGCCACAACCGAUGCCAGACUUCAUCAGAUUGUUUUUGCAUUUUCCGUUUGGUUUCCAUUUUUUAUGUAAUUUCAUUUCCUCUUUGAUUUAGAACUUCUUAGCUAUAUAUAGGAAAGUAUUAGGGCUUGUUUUAUGAGACUUUUGAUAUAAUUCUUGAAAUUUUUAACACUUGGUGUGUUUGGAUUCUAUACCUAGAUUGGAUUCUUCUUGAAUCUAGACGAGGUUCUAGUUGAAUUUUGGAUUUUCUUUUUGGUGUUUGAUCAUGAAUCAACCCUUGUUUGUCUCUGUGGAUUAGUUCGCGUAACUAUUCCAUUUAAAUCACUUCUGCCUUGAAUCAUCUAGGCUUGUAGGUAUUGCAAUUUAAACGAAAUUGCAGUGACAUAAAAAAUGAGAUCGAUCUACUGGCAUUGCUGGAAUGCCAAAUUUCUAACAUUUUCUACAACAGCAAUAUCUGAACUUUUCUGAAGACUAAAAGGUGAUUUCUAAUCAUCUGCACUUCGCUAAUUAUUUUGUAAGUCAUAAUAGUAGCACCCUUAGGAUAAUUCCUUGCAUUCUGCAAGCUGUUUGUACAUCCAAAUUUUUCCCAGAAGGACAACGAAUUAUUGUUCAAAACUUAAAAGACAGAUUAUCAAUCUUCUGAUUUCUUGGGAAGAGAAAAUAUGAGAAACAAGCAAAGUGGAACUACAACAAAAGCAGCAGCCUUCAGCAAAUCCUCGUUCUCUUUCGAGAUAACUCCAAUUCUUGACCAAUCUCCACUGUACCUGAAUUAACACGAAGUGAUUGCAAAACGAGAAAUAACUGCUUAAGAUAACUGAAAGGACCUGCAGACAUGUACAUAUUUACCCGGCAUCGAUGAAUCCCAAUGAAAACACUGCAAUCGCAGACUGUGCAAGAAAUGUGUUUGAAAUUUUGAGAGAAAAAUUUGGUUGUUCAGUUGGUGAAUUCUCUGGCAAAUCGCGCUUCUUUGCCAAUGGAAAUGUGGCAGGUUUUCUAAGAGUUAAGUUUGGCAAGGAAAAAGAAGCCUUAGCACCACAAAAACUGGCGCUCUGUUGCAUCAGCAUUUUGUUAUCAUCUAGAACCUGAGAGUUCUAAGUGCUCAUUAUCUACUACUAUAUCCGAAUGAGUGGCUGCCAUUGAAUCUUUGAAAAUCAUAUCCUCGUACCAAAAGAAAAAGAAGUUCAUUUCCUAGCAAAUCCACGCUAAAGAUGGGUUCAACCGUUCAAGCAUUUAUAGCUAGUCUUUAAAUAUAAGGAUUUUGACUUUCAUAUGGUUAUAGCCUUUUUUUUUUUUUUUUCUUCACAGUGGGUAUCUGGGCCCAAGGACUGGUUACCGUACGGCCCAACUAAUCCCACUGCGGGCUGGGAGCGGCUCGCCCUAAGCAUCACCAGCCACGGUAAACCGGGGAUUCGAUCCCGUGACCUAGCUCUCCCCCAACUGGGACUACAACCAGUGACCUGGCUUUCAUAUGGUUAUAGCCUUAUUGACACACUUUUCUUCUUUGACUGUUUAGCUUACAUUUGGCCAUUACCAUUCUCAAACCUCAAUUCCUUCAUUUUUCUUUUAAUAGUAUUAAAUGAUGUUCGAAAUUAGAGGAAGAAAAGAAAUGAAAAGUAAGGGCAUAUCGUUUUGGUAAAUCCGUUUAUAUAGCUCUGAGAAUAUUAAAAAAAAAAAAAAACUCACUUUUUGAGUAGUGAAAGGAUAUGGUUCUACUGAUCCAAUAUGGAACCAGUUAUAUUCCAAUAACUUUUAGUCAGAGAAAUUUUGUGCUUUAUAGAUACAAAUGGAGGAGGAUUGAGAGUUGAAGUGAAGUGCUGGUAAAUGUUCUUACGACUUGGGUUUUAAGAACAUAUGGAACCACUUUAUUAGUGGCAAAUAAUUUACAAUAGAAUGUAACUCAUCACAAUUUGAAAAAAAAAAUUUCGCUGUAAAUAUCUCAUUGUCCGGGGACUGCAUUGGUCAUCGAUUAAUUCAAAAUCUAGCACUAUGUCCUCCUUUAGGGAGGCUGGUUCUCCUGUCAUAAUUUGGAUUUCAAAUCUAAAUUUUAUAUUUGUUAAAUGCAUCCAGUUCUGUUCGCUUAUAUAUUAUCAAUGUAGAGAACAUUAACCCUUCUAUGUACAAAUAAUUGAAUUUAAUUUUAAUUGUGGCAUUCAUGCUCGGCAUGGCAAAGGCUUCACAAGCCAGUAUAGGGAAAGCUCAAUGCAAAUAAUUUUUUAUUUUUUAUUCCUUUUCUGUUCUUAUAAUUAAAGAAGGGGAUGGUGGGAUGUGCAAUAUGAAAUGGGACAAAAAUUUUUUUUUUUUAAAGAAUGACAAAAGAAAUGAAAAUGUUAACAACUAUGCUAUGCUUGUAAUUUAGCACCUAGUGACCAGCAUCUUUAAUUGUUACAAAAGUUAAAUUAAAUUAUCCUUGCAUUCUUAAACAUUAUCCACCACAAAAAUCAAAAUCAAUAUAUAUACAUAUACACGUAUAGACGCGCACACACACAGUAAUAAGGCCAAGAUUAAUAUUACAAUUUAAGAAAUAAAAGCAACUUCAAAUAAUCUGAGACAAGACCCAUGGGCUCAAAGUUUAGCUGGGCAAUGGGUCUUAACAAGCAACAAUUGGGCUUGGCCAAGACACGGUGUACGAUUCUUUGCGACAUUUGCUCUUACUUCCGCGGCAAAAUUUCAAGUAAAGCAGCCCUCAAAAGAAAAUGAGCAAAUGGUGGCCCAAAAAAAGAGAACAUUAUGGCAUGAACAGUAAGACAGGACUAUAUAAACAAUUAUAUACUACACGAAAAGCUUAAAACAGUCAAUUUAUUGAAAAUUAUCAAACGACAUAGCUCUAAAGCUAUUCCCUGAUUACUCAAGUCAAUUUGUAAAAAAAAAAAAAAAAGGACUAACUUUGAAUCCAUUUAUUGACCAGCAAACGACAACAAUAAUAUAUACUACUUCUGGGCUAAGUAUUUCAAUUUGGAUGUAUGUAAUCUAACAUUUUGUAUCUUCUCUCCUUUCCUUAAUGGCAUCACCACCAAAGCCUUCCACAUAUCCUUAACCAUUCUCAUGUAAAAAUAAUUUUAAAAAAAAAGGAAGAUAACACUACCAGAAGGCAAGAAUAAAUGAUGAUUACUCAAUUUGUGUCGAUAAAUCAAUUGAUUUGAUAAACAUUCCAAAACUAUCAAAUUUCGUAAAAUGUCAAUGCCUAUGUUGUCAUACAACAGCAGUCAACAAAAAACAAAGAACAAAAUGGGUGAAAGAAAAUCCUAAGAUAUUUAUAGGCUACAUCAGUUUUCCAAAAUAGAAGAAGGAAAAGUAGCAUAAAACAUAAAUAAAAAAAAGGGAGAAUUGGAGUUUUGGUCCCCAAUUUAUAACAAAUACGUGAAACUAGUCCCCAAUCUAUUUUGGAGAACAAAUGUAGUCCCCAAUCUAUCCAAAUUUGCUCGAAAGUGGACAAUUAACGGGUUUUCUUCAAAUUUUGCUGGAAACAAGUCAGAAGAGAGCACGUGCCGGCGGUUAAAAUCCUUUUUUCAAUUUUUUUAGCGUGAAAACUCAUACAAAAUUAUUUCCAGCUUUCUAGUCCCCCCUUUUUUUAUUAGCAAAGACAAAACACACUAAUUGUAUAACCAAAAAAGGCAAAAAUAAAAAUAAAAAAAACACCCCUUUUUUCUUUUACUUCAGUCUCCAGAAAUGAGAACAGAAAACCAGAUUAAGUUCCGUGCAUAAAAUCAGUAAAUCGGAAGAAAAAUCUUGAAGAACUCGGUGAUAAUGGAGUUGUUCGUGAAUCUGGGAGGAGGAAAUGGCACUAAGACCAAAAGAAAUGAAUGGAUCACCGCCACUAGAUUACGGUAUGUGAUUUUGACCUCAUGUAGCAUUAUGCAUGCUUAAUUCAUGCUUAUAUUGUAAGAAUGUGAUGAUGAAUGGUGAUAUUUUCACUUGGGAGACAAAAAAUAUCGUAAAUUUUGGAUUUUUAAGUAAUCUGAUAAGGCCCUAAAAACAAACUUGUCUACCAUUGUAUGUGGUCCCGUAUGUCUCUCUGGAGUGGGUUGUCAUGGUAGACAAUGUUGGGUUAAAUGAGACUUUGUAAGUGGUCCUUGUCUGAACUUUAUAUGGCAGGAGGUGUAUUAUUGAAUUGUCUUGAAGCUGAUUGAGUGCAAAUUACCUGCUUAUAUAAUCUAAUUUGUCACUUAUGGUACUUGUUUAUUGUGUUUGUUUUAUUUUUUUUGUCCUUAAAUUCAAACAGUGAUAGCACUGAAGUAACUAUGAAGUGUUAUAUAUGGGGAAAAUGUGAAACCUAACCUAAUGUGCAUUAUAAGGGAGGAGAAUUAAGGAUUUUUUAUCAUGUAGAGGUCACAAGCAUUAGUCUAUUUGAAAUGAAUAGAAUGCUAGAAAAUCAACUUCAAGCAGUUGGUGACAAAAAGUACCAUAUCCUAAUCGAGAAAUAUGGAUUUCGUUUGUUAAGGCAUGAUAGAGAAUUACAUGCAUAUUGUGCUGAUCAUUUUGACUCUAGCAGGGUGGUUGAUUUGUAUGUAGAGGAUUCUUUUAGUGAUCUACUAGCAUCACAAUAGGGGUCUGACAUUGAGGAUGUGGACUUUGUGUUAGAAGAUGAAGAGGAUGAAUAUGAUGAUGAAUAUAUGGCUAGUUCAGGCUCUGAUUUGGCGGAGUUCUCAGGAGAAGACUCAAAUUAUGAUCAAAAUUCAGAUGAUAAUGAUUAUGAUGAAAAUGUUGAUGAAGAUUCUGAAUGGUUGGGGUAAAAAAUAGAAAACAAGAGCAGCCGAAUAGGCAUCUAAAAAAAAGUCUACAUAUGUUAGGAUGAACCACAUACCUAGGAAACAAAUGUCUAAUGAUACUGAAAGUGAUGAUGACAAUUCUGACAUAGAUGCUGCCCCAAAUUCAAAUACUGAUAUUGGUAGUGAUAGAGGGUCGGAUGAAGAGAAAAGCUUGAGACCCCCUAUGUUUGAUCCCAAGGAUGAAAAUAACCCCAAAAUUAAACUUAGACAAAUUUUUUCUUCCUUCAAGGAGUUGAAAGAAACAAUUAGAACCUGGAACAUUAGGAGAGGGAGACCAUUUAAAUUUAUCAAGAGUGACAUCAUAAGAAUUAGAGCAAUAUGUCCUAAAGAUGGGUGUGAUUGGUGCAUAUAUGCUAGGAGGAUGAAAGGGGAUAACAGAUUGGAGGUUAGAAUAUUUCAAAAGAAGCACAAAUAUGGAUUUUCAUACCACAACAAGAGUGUGAAGUUUGGAUGGGUAGGAAGAAGGUAUGUUGGCAUAUUUAGGGAGAACCCAAGGCUGGACUAUGAGUGUGUUUGGAUAGAGUAUUAUUUGAAAUAUUAUUUGGAAUAAUUACUAUAGCACUUUUUGUGAUGUGAUGUAUGUGAGAUAAAAAGUAAUUGGGAAUAUGAAAAGGUGAAUUGAGAAAUGUGUUUAUGAUGCAAGCGAAAUAUUAUUUGGGAAAUGUUAGUUUCAAAAAAUUUGGUAAUGAAGGAGCACAAAUGUUAUCUUAGUAAACAUUAAGACUAUAGAGCUAAGAAAUUGCAGAGAAUUUGGCCAAAAGUAGUGAGAUGGAUUAAUAUAAUAAACUGCCUCAAUAUAUCAAUGAAAUCGAGAGAAGUAAUCUAGGUAGCAUAGUAGUUAUGAAGCUGGUAGAUGACUAUUGUAAUGCAGUAACUGGAUAAGGCAAAUUUCAGAGAUUAUACAUGUGUUUUGUUGGGGUAAAACAGGGGUUCUUAGAAUCUUAGCAGCUUGUAGACCUGUGUUCGGAUUGGAUAGAAUUUUUCUCAAAGGUUCAGCGGCGUGUGUACUAUUGACAGCAGUUAGAGUUGAUCCAAAUAAUGGAAUGUAUCCUAUAGCUUAUGCAGCAACUGAGGGAGAAACCAAAGACUCUUGGAUUUGGUUUCUAACAUUACCCAAGGAAGAUUUGAAAAUUGAAAGGGACUAUGAGUGGACAAUAAUGAGUAAUAAGCAAAAGGGAAUAAUCCAAGCAUGUGAAACAAAUUUUUUUUGAAUGCAACUCACAGAUUCUGUGUUAAACAUAUGCAUAGUAACAUGUCAUCUACUGGGUUCAAAGGGGCAGCAAUGAGGAAAGCUCUCUAGAAAGCAGCUAAGGCAACUACUCCAAUGCAAUUCAUAAGAAGAAUGGAGGCAAUUGCAAAACUUGAUGCUGAAACUGCUAAGUGGUUGGAUGACAAGAAUCCAGCAGAGUGGAGUAGAUCACACUGUAGCACUUACCCAAAGUGUGAUAUGUUGCUAAAUAACAUAUGUGAAUCCCUCAACAGCAAGAUCUUAGAUGCUAGAGAGGAGUCAAUUGUUGCAAUGAUGGAAUCAUUGAGAUAUUUUAUGAUGUCAAGAAUGCAAGAAAACAGAGACAGAGCUAGAGAAAAAUGAAACAAAUAUGCAAUCUGCCCAAAAAUCAGAAAAAUAAUGAUAGAGAACAUAAAUAAGGCAACUUACUGUGUGCCUUACAAAUCCAACGGAGUUAACUAUGAAGUUGAUGAUCCCUAUGGUGAAAAGUAUGUAGUUAAUAUUAAAGAAAAGACAUGCUCUUGUAGAAAAUGAGACUUGAUAGGGAUACCUUGUUAUCAUGCAAUUUCUGAACUUUGGAUUGCAAUGAUGGAUCCAAUGGAGUAUGUUGAUGAUUGCUAUAGUGUGGAAACUUAUCUCAAGUGUUAUGAGCCAUGCAUACUACCUCUUCAUGGAGAGCAAGAUUGGGCAGAUGUGAAUGUCCAGCCACCACUCCCACCAACAUAUGGAAGAGCACCAGGAAGACCUAAGAAACAAAGGAGAAAAUCUAUUGAUGAGGUGCAGGAAAUGAAAGAUAAAAGAGUUAAAUAAGAAGAUUUGGACAAAUCUGUAAAUGUACUUACUAUGGGGAAAAGGGUCAUAACACAAGGACAUACAAGCUUAGGCAACAUUCACAGAUUCAAGAUGGAUUGCAUGAAGCACAAUGUGUAGAUGACUUGUCACAAUUGGAUACAAACCAUACCAUCUCUAUGAGUGAUAAGAUCUAAUUUAUUUGAAUUCAAAUACUGUGAUUUUGUAUUUGCUUAAUGAUAAUGGUUUUAAUCUCAUGUUCUAGGUUGAAGGUAUUAGCUCCACUGCUAAGAAGACAACAAGAAGAGCAGUGAAAAAAGCUGUACAGUUUUCUUAUAACUUGAAUUUGAUUUUAUAUUCUUACCAGCAUAACUACUGCGCAUACUCAUUACUCAUACUACUGUUGUGCAAGGAAAAGGCACCAGACGUGUAGGAAAGAAAGUAACUUCAUCACAAAAUAGCCAACAAGCUACUGAGAGCAACAUAAUUUCUUCUGCCUCUGUUGCUGAACCUAACUUAUAUGAGAUUUUUGAAAUUUCAGAUCCACAUGUGGCACAUAUCAGCCAACUAGUUGCUCCUAUUACUUCUGCACCAUUUAGAAUUAGGGAUGUUCAAAUUCAUUUUGAACUCCCCAAGACCAGUGAACGUGGUGACAAGUCCAAUGUUAAAGGAAAAACAAAAGUGAACUAAUUAUGUAUUUCAUUUAUUGAUGACCGUGUUUAUGUAUGGGUAGACUUGGUAUUUCUUUUGUUAUGUUAGAAGUAAUGCAAAUGUUGCAAUGCAGCUUCUUUUGUACUUCUUUUGUCAUGCCUUCUGAUGAAGUCUAUGUAUACUUUGUAAGGGAGAAUUGGAGGCCCCUUUUUCUGAUGAAGUCUAUGUAUAUUUUGUAAGGAAGAAUUGGAGGUCCCUUUUUAUAGUUGUAAUAACUGAAUUGCAAUAUUAUUUAAAGAUUGCUGGCUUCUGGGCAGAAUUGUUGCAGUUUCCUUUCUCAAUUGAGUUGUGAAUAUCUUGGCAUCAUUUACAAAUGUGCUUGUGUUUUACAGGGAUAAUUUCCAAAUAAUGCCUUCAUUUGGCCUCUAAAUUGCCAUCACUUUACAUGUAUAAUAAGAUGCUAGACAGAUAUUUACUAAUCCAACUAUUAAAUCACUCUUAAAUAGAGGCUCAAAAGAUCUUGAAAGACUAUUAAUUUUAUAUCAACAAAUGUCCAUUACAAUUUACAAUAGCACUGAAUACAACAUUACCGAUAUCUUACUAGCAACGUAAUACAUCCCAACCUACACAUUCACCCACUGCAAGCAAAAAACUCCAAAAUUCUGAAUAAAUGUGUUUUAGCUAUUAGCUUGAACAAGAUUGCUGAUUACUAGUAGCUUGUCACAAUCCGCUAAAACAUAGAUAUUCCAUCCUAAUUUCUGGUCUUUUACACCAGUAAAACAAACAACAACAACAAUACCAACAACACAAUUGCAGAGACUAAUUUUCUUUCCCUUGCUCUUAGUUUUUCAAUUGUGGCAUUCUUAGCAUUCAUGCUCCACAGCAAACCAGGUAUCAAAGCAGUGGUUCUUUGGCACAUUAUCAGAUCAUACCACUCGAAAUAGUUGUAACCUUUUUCAUCUCUUUUGCCCUUCACGGUCAUAAAAAAUAAUGCUUCAGAAAAAACCUAAAAUUCAGAAGCUGAAGCAAGAAUUUGAGAUAGCCUAUACCUUCUUCAUGCCGCAGCUAAAAUACCUUCUUCCAGGGUUGCUGUGUGUCCAAGAGGUAAUCAUCAUUACUUGUAACUUACAGUGGCGAAACUUUUCUGGUAUCAUGACUACAUACAACUAGCUAAGAAGACAAAUUUGUCAAAAUUAUGCCAUGAGUGUGAACGGAUGAGAAAACCCGAAGCUCUUCAAUCUCGAUCUGUACAAGUCUUUGUCACUUCCCAUUAAUUGAAUUUGGCUACAAGGGUUUUUUCUUCAGUUGGGGAAGAAUAGAGAAAACGACGGAAAGAAAGAAAGGGAUAGAUUGGGUUUUGUCUUUGUUAAUCAAAAAUUUUGCCAAUCGCUUAAUUAUAUAGUAGAUUAAUAGUAAUUAAUAUAAUUAACUCCAUUUGCUAAUUGUGUUUUGUCUUUGCUAAUAAAAAAAGGGGGGGACUAGAAAGCUGGAAAUAAUUUGUUAUGAGUUUUCACGCUUAAAAAAUUGAAAAAAGGAUUUUAACCACCGGCACGUGCUCUCACGUGACUUGUUUCCGGCAAAAAUUGAAGAAAACCCGUCAAUUGUCCACUUUCGAUCAAAAUUGGAUAGAUUGGAAACCAUAUUUGUUCUCCAAAAUAGAUUGGGGACUAUUUUCACUCAUUUUGUUAUAAAUUGGGGACCAAAACUCCAAUUCUCCCUAAAAAAAUGCUAAACUUUGUUUUAGACAGAAGAUCCUUGAUAUUUACAUGAUUUUAAAAAGUUUUAUUUGAUAAUUUUUUACAUGAUUUAAAAGUUUUAUCUGGUGUUUUUUUACACAAUUUGCUUGACUUAUUAAAAACUUGUGAGUGAUGUUUCCAAAAUAUCUCUAUUUAGUUGGUCAAUCAGGAAUUAGAUUAGUUUUAGGUGGUGGUGCCACUACAAAGACGUUUAAUUGGAAUAGUAAAAUAAGUUCACAUAUCAAAUUAGUUAGGAUUAAAAGUUAGGGACUGAAUUGGCACAAGUGAAAAAGUUGAGGGAUGAAAUUGGCCAUUUUUGCUAAGAGUGUAAUAGGGAAAGAAAUAGAUAAGCAUCCCGGCAAAUAAGAAAUAGAUAAGGCGACAAAGGUUCACCUUGUCUUAGUCCUCUUUGAGGGGUGAUUGAGCCCACUUGACACCAUUGAGCAUGAAGGAAAAGGUGAUUGAGGAAACACAUUUAUGGAUUAUAGAGAUGAAACGAGUGUCAAAACCUAGAGCAUUCAUAACUUUUAAAAGAAAAUUCCAUUCUACCCUAUCAAAGACUUUACUUAUGUCUAAUUUGAGCGACAUCAGACCAUCUUUACCCCAAGUUUGGUGUAGUUCAUAUGAGACCAAAACAUUAUCAAUAAUAAGCCUACCUGGAAUGAAAGCAGACUGGGAUUCUGAAAUGAUUUCAGGCAAAAGGGAUCUAAUUCUGUUAGCAAGAACCUUUGAAGCUAGUUUAUAAACAACAUUACAAAAAGAGAUUCGCCUAAAUUGAGAUAUUUGGUCAGGGUUUUUGCACUUAUGAAUAAGAACAAGAUGUGUAAAGUUAACUUGAUCAUUGAAGACACAAUUAUUCAAAAAAGAUAGUAUAAAAAAAUGUGAUAUCUUGGCCAACAAUAUUCCAAUAUUUUUGACAUUGGACUAAAACCGUUUGGACCUAGAGAUUUAUAUGGAUGCAUCCGAGAGGGAGAUUUCGUUACCACAUUUGCUGUGAAGGGCUCAAGAAUUUUUUUAAUUUGUGGAAAUGUUAAGGAAAUUUAGGAUAGGGAACAAAAUUUGGGAUUGAAAAUUUUGUAACAAAUAUUAAAAGGCCUAAAUUUAUAGGAUUUAUAGUACAAUGUACCUACACAACUAACUUAGACAAUACAAUGAAUUUGGAAAACAGAUUUAUACAAGAUAUUAUCUUUCUAAUUGAUUCUAAUUAAUCAUAUAUGCAUAUAAUAAAAAUAGGCUCCAUGUGGAUUGCACUUAUUUUUUCGAAAACUAUUUUGUUUGUGGAGUCUACUUUAACAACUCCAAAAUACACACAAUUUUAAAUACAAUUUACACAAAAAAAUCUUAUCACAUUUUCUUUUUCCACUCACAACCACCACCCGCCACCACCACCACCACUUCUCUCCUCUUCCCUUCUCCUCCAUCUCUACCUCUACCACCACCACUACUACCACCGCUACCCUUCCUCUCUCCCCUCUCCUCCCUCUUUCUUUCUCUCCACCUUCUUCCUCCUCUCUCUUCCCCUCGUCUUUGUUGCUCUCCCCUGCAACACCCUUCCCUCCCUCCUUCCCCUAUAGGGAGCUCGCAACACCAUUCCCUUCCUCCCCUAUAGGGAGGUGGAAGGAGGGAAAAAGAGAGGAGGAAGGAGGAGGGAACAAGGCAGUGGUGGUGGUAGUGUUCAAUUUUUUGAGAAAAAAAAAUACCCCAAAAAUUUUUAAUUUUAAAAAUAUCUCAAAAUACAUCCUCAAAAACACCUCAGAAAUACCCAAACAUCUACAGUAAAAUUUUUUAUUUUGGAAGACUGAUGACUUGACUAUUCUAAUGUUCUGCCAAGUGAACUAUACUAUCUAUCUUUACACUUCGUAAACAUAUUUAAUAUUUGUGUUUUUUAGUUUUCUUAUUCUCUUUCUAUUUUUUUCAACAAUUAAUCCCUUUUCUUUUUCACUUUCAAUCAAUUUAUUAGUUUCUGCGUUAUAUAUUUUGUAUUUGUUUUGCCUUAUUGAAUCUUUUUAUCAAUCAACUUACAGUUUUAUUUCUUUCUCUCCAAUCAUGUUUUGCAAUUUAUUAUUUGGCUUGAUUAUCUAUUAGAAAUUACUAUUACUAAAUUUUGGAAUUUUUUUUUCUUUUUCUUUUUUAUUUCUCUUGAUAUAAUAAUUUGCUGUUCAAUUUUUUGUAUGGUAAGUUGUUGAUUUGGCUACUCUCACAUUGUGCCAAGUGGAUGCCCUAUUUUUUUGCCACAUCUAUAUAUUUUACAAUUUACUUACCUAGUUUUUAGUUGAACAAGAAUCACCCACCUUUUUUCCAUAAGCUUUCUUUCCUUAAUUUAUUGUGUUUUGCAUUAAUGAUUAGAGUAAGCAAAAUUUGAUUAUCCUGAUCAUGAAUUAAUUAUUUUUUAUUGUGUUUAACUUGAAUAUUUUUAUUUAAUAUUUUAGUUCUUUGAUAUCAAUAUUUAUUAAAAAGGAAAAAGAGGAAAAAAAGAUAAAAAAAAAGUGCCUGUGCAAAUGCACGUGUAAAUAACUAGUGGUUAUGUAAAAUAAUGUACAUUAACAAGAAAAAAGAUGCAAAUUUUAUUAAUUGAAUACUCCAAAUACAGGAUUAGAAACAACAAAAGUAGGUAGAGAAUCAUUCUAAAUACAGGAAUCAGAAAUUGAUAAAAUAAACUUAACUGAAAGAUGAGGAACCACAUUCUUAUUUCUGAAAGUUCAAGAAAUCUCCCAAAUUGAACUUUGCAAAUGAAAAAUGACCUCCUCAAUCAUAAUAUAUAGCUGAGUACGAAAUCAUCUUGCUCAAAAUUCUCAAUCCUCUUGAUGGUGCUUUGCCAUUCUCCCUCAAGGAUAACCCUCCUGCAGAUUUUGCUAAAGACGGUGGCUAAUCUUGAACUUGAAGACAGAGUUGGAAAGCUAAUCUUGGCGGUAGCUAAUCCUGACCUUAACUCCAAUAUAGGCUUGGAUUUAGAAUUUAGAUUACUUCAUUAUGCCAUUCAAAUCUUUGACUAGGGACGGGGCCACAAUUAAUCACAACAAUCAAAUUCUAUUUGGCUGCUUCAAUAGACGUGGUGGGCCCCAUUCAUACAAUUUGACUGGCCCUUAGUUCCGGUGAAUGAAACUUUUAAUUGAAUUAAACAUUACUAUUUAUUUUUACAUUAUUUUACAUGGAAUAUAUAUCCUCUAACUAAAAUUGCCACAUAUCAUUCGUAACUCAAAUAAUUGUUUUUUUUUUUUCAUGCUUAGUGUUGAAAAGGCUUCACAAGUUAGUUUUUGGUCAAACUCAUUGCAAAUAACUUUUAAUUUUUUACUUUUCAUGUUCUUGUAAUUAAAGAAGGGGAUGGUGCGCUGUGCAAUGCGGAAAUCAAAUCCAAGUUUUAGAAUGACAAAAGAAAAGAAAAUCCUAACAACUUUGCAAUGUAUAAUCCCCACUGCUUUUUGUAGAGUAAAUUGCUAAUAAAGUAAAAAAAAAAAAAAAGGAUGAAAAACUAAAUGAACCAAAACACAAUGAGCAAGUUGUGAACUUUUGCCAUGACUACAAUUUUGGGUCAAUGAAAAAGAAACAUAUUGACUUAAAUCCCCAAUGAGAGAGUUCUGUUAUAAUCUAUUAGCUAUAUUGCAUAAUCAUUUUUCAGGGAGUGGAGUCCCUGUUACAAAAUUUGAAACUAGUGAAAGACCUCGAUCAGGUUUAUAACUUGGUACUUGGUGACCUGCACCUCUAACUGUUGCAAAUGUCAAAUUAUUCUUGUAAUCUUGAACAUAUCC
RNAcentral lists this long non-coding RNA (47835 nucleotides) under Coffea arabica (coffee). RNAcentral describes it as "long non-coding RNA (CARA_LNC001773)". The record is from RNAcentral. Lineage: Eukaryota; Viridiplantae; Streptophyta; Magnoliopsida; Gentianales; Rubiaceae.